RNAcentral lists this long non-coding RNA (48572 nucleotides) under Triticum aestivum (bread wheat). Its description in RNAcentral is "long non-coding RNA (TAES_LNC011266)". The record is from RNAcentral. Lineage: Eukaryota; Viridiplantae; Streptophyta; Magnoliopsida; Poales; Poaceae.
CAUAUGCAAAUAAACCAUCCCACUAAGAUGAAACAGAAUUAGCUAUGAGUGCUAAACUCUACAAGAUGAAUAAUGGUUCUAAGCUCUACAUGAUGAAUAAAUGGGUGGUAAGAAAAGUGAUAAAGUAUAAGCCUAAGAAAUAAAUGAACACUAAGAGCUUGAUAGAGAGAAAAUAUGGCACCUAUCUUAUUCUACUUCUUUCUUUUAUCUUUUCUUUCUUUCUUUCUUUCUUUUUCUUUUUUCUUUUUUUCUUUCUUUCUUUUCCAUUUUUCUUUCUUUUUCUGCCCUACAAAAGAUUGAUAGGUGCCGACGGAAGCUCUUAUAUAUAUGAAAAUAAAAGCGAGGCAUAAAAUGGUUGGUGAAUUUAGAAAGCGCUAAACAUGAUGACUAUUAUGCCUCCUUUAAAGAUGUACAAAGCAAAAUUCAAAUGUGCAUGGCAAAAGGAUCCACUACUUGGAAUAGCAAAUGAGGAGGUGCUAUGAUAGGUAGAUAUGGUGGACUCUUUGGAAAACUGAAGUGGCUUAACGGGAGUUUCUCUCUUUUUUUUUUCCUUUUUUUGGUCAUUUUACCUUUUAGCCUUUUUUUCCCUCUCACGGUUGAUUCAACUGUUCUAUCAACCUUGGUUUCUUACCUCUCACAUCUCACUCUUUUUUUAGUGAGAAACUCCACAAUGGUUGGGAUGUACUGGCGGAGUAUGCUAGAUCCCAAUGUAGGAAAUGCAAUGCCAAGUACCGAUGAGGCUAGCAACAUAAGAUAAAAGGAUGAUCGGCUUGGAGGGCAUCUUGUCACGAUGAAAUGCAAACCUGAAGAUGUAAACUGUAUGAAAAGGUUGUGGAAGUGUAGCGAACUUGAAAACCAUGUCUUCAUGAGUUACCACGAAGAUUUUAACGAAAGUAAUUUGAAGCAUUGCAGAGCGAAUAUAAGAACACCUGCACACAAGAUAGAAUUGUGAGCACACCACAAAUUUCUUCCAGGAACAAAAAAAAAUGAAGAAACACUGAAAUGCGAUUAACUGAUUUGUCAACAUUUUGAGAAGAUAAGUAGUGUCGAGAACAAAUCUUCAAUUAAUGGUUUAGGAAAGGUUGUUUCUGAGAAAAAAAAGGAAAACUGAAUAAAUUCGUUUCAGUGUUUAUAUCUGAAUAUCUGAUAUCUCAAGAGGCUAAUUGGAUUUCUUACUGAAAGAUCAAAUGGUUGGGAACAAACUGAGUACUAAGAGUUUAAACUUGAAGACCAAAUGUAUUUACCAGAUUUAUAUGCCUGAAGAAAAUAACACAAGACCAUCUUGUGAGAACUAUGCAUCAUGCAUGGAUGGCAUGAGUCUUAAAAGGGUAGAAAAAUGUACAACUCCAAGAUAGAGAGCCCUGCACAAUGAAUGGAAACAGAGAACUGUUCAGUUUAAGCAGCAAUGAGGCAAAAAUAAACCUCAAGAAUGGUUUUUCGUGUGUCGGAUCAGAAAAGAUUAACUGGGGAUAGAUAAAACCAAGGAAACAUCAGGGUGUCGAUGAACAAUGCAUAAAACUAUCGAAGUACAGUAUGAUUAUGCAUGUACUAACCAGAUUAUGGACAGAAUGGAAGAUGCAGAUUGAGAUCCUCCAGGAUAGCAUCUCUUCAGCUGGACUGAACUCAACUAUGUCAUGACAACUUACUUACCAGGAGAACCAGGUCUGCCUUAACCCACAGGACCAACCUUUUACCGAGAUUGAUCUGAAAAGACCAGGGUAACAUCAUAACAUUAGCAUCUGAUUGUACAUUUCUAAUUGAAAUAUGGAACAGAUCAGCCAAAGUAAGGCACUUACAAUGCAUCACCCAUUAGUGAGGACAGUUUGCAUCGUAAACAGCUUUGCAGCAUGUAAAUCAUCUGGACAAGUGACAUCCUAAUUUAGUGUUGGCUGAUCAAAAUUGCACAAGUAUUACAUGGACAGCAACGGACAUUUUUUUUUGCAGAAGCAGGUACUUACUGCUGGUGGUUCACAGAACCUUUCCUAUACUGAGAAAACUUCAGAAUUUUUUAUGAGAUUCAGCAGAACUUCAAAAUGUCACAUGAUGAAUUUAUGGGACUUUAUGUUGCUGUAGUAAUUAUGAUCCAUUUCCUUGUAGUGAAACUUGUAGAGCUCCUACAUCUGGUUCAAAAGAAAGUCAGACAUUAGCAUGAAGAUAAAUAAUAGAGCUCAACAAAUGUAGAUCUUCUAAAGUCCUAGGGUACACUGCCUUGGAUUAAGAGAAUUCACAGGCUUUCCCCUAGCUUGGUUAAGAAAUUCUUUGCUUCUGACAAAUAUAAAAUGUUCCUAUUGUUUAAAGUUUCAUUUUACUUGUAUACACUUACCAGAUCAUAACACUUUAUAGGAAUCCUACAAGUGUUGGACUGAAUACUACAAGUGAGAAGUGUGCAUGGAUGGACAGAGUGAUUCCUUGAAGGGCUCAAAACUGUGCAACUCCUAGAUAGAGCUCUGCACAGAGUAUUAAAACAAGCCAGUUAUUAAGAAAACUCGUUGCGUGGAAUUCAUGUGUGGGUACUAGGAAUGUCUUGUUUACCUUUGGAUUGGCCAGAUUUGACUUCAGUGGAGGAGCUACACAAGGUUGAUUGUCUGUGGGUGUGGGCGGUGGGGAUAUGAAUUUCUAGGGGGCAAAAACUAUAUUCCUCCCCCUCCCUAUAACAGCUUUCUUCGCAAAAUUUGUCAAGCCGCCGCAGCCCUUGCACACAUAUCUCCGGCCACCAGUGUUUGAUUUACUGGAAUUGUCCCUUAAGCUUGCUACACCGCGAAAGAUGACAAAAUCCUGCAUAGUAGAUGGAAACAGAAAGCUGUUAAGACUAUGUAGUAAUGGGGUAAAACGAAGCAAAUAAAACGGUUUGACGUGUGUGGGAUCAGGAAAAAGUAACGUUAGUUAGGAACAAGAUACAGUUAAAGAAUAUUGGACUUACGGGAUGAUUACGUACAUCAUGGAUGAUACAGACUGAAGUCUUGUGCUUGCACUGGGAAAAACUGAUGAGAGCCAGAGAACGAACUACACUUUGUAUCCAGAGAGAAUUGUACGAGGCUGAUGAUGAACCAAUCAAAAAGACAAAAAGAGAGCCCUGCACAGAAGAUUAAAAUAAGUGGGUUAUUCAGUUCAGAAGAAACGAGAGUAAUUCCUAAGAGCCAAGCAGAAAAAAAUCUGAAUGAUGUCGAAGCUAACGAGGUUAGCAAAAGCAAGGGGAACUGGUGAGUAGGAACUAUAAGAAUGAGAAGAGGGUAAGGACGUGUUUGUUACCUUGGAAGGAUUCUUCAGGCCAUGAUUACUGGAAUUGUCCCUAUCAAGCUGCGGCACUGCCUUUUAAGCUCCUCGCUUUCGGAAUCACGGACAUGUAGUGCUCGCAGGGAUUUGGGAAGCCCAUCCUUGUGAAGCGAUUUGAUUUCAGGACACUCCCGGAUCAGUAAUUCCUGCAGAGAACUCGGGAGGGCGUCCUUGGGCACUGAUUUUAUGGCAGGACAAUUCGCGAUCUCCAAUUUUUGCAGAGAAGUUCGGAGGCCGUCCGAAAAAGUGGGAAGCAAUUCCAGCUCAGGACAAUUGGAGAUCUGUAAUCUCUGCAGACAACUCGGGAGGCAGUCCUUGGGCAGCGACUGGAGGGAUGUGCAUUCAAAGAUACACAAGUAGUUGAUGCUGGCAAGUGUAUGUAGUCCUGCAGGGAGGAACUGCAAUUUCUGGCAGUAACCAAAUGCGAGCUCUUGGAGGGAGGUGAGAACCAGGAGGGCCUCUCCUGGGAUGGGCUCCACCUCUUUGCAACCAUAAAUGCUCAAUUUGGUGAGAGAGGUGGAGAUGAGGCUGCAGAUGGACACAGGAAGAACUCCUGGGGAGUUAUAUAUGGAUAGGGUAUGUAGUUUUGAGGAACGGCUGACGCUUAGGUUUGUGAGGUCCUCCAUGCCCCAAAGCUCGAGUUCUUCCAGGUUGGAUAGGUUUGUGAGGGCCAGAUUGUUGAAUUCUUUAAGAUUGGAUAGGCAGAGUUUUUCAAGGGAGGCCGGGAAAGGGAAACAAGACGAGGAGCUCGAGCCCGAAUAGGAGAAAAGCAACUUGGGGCAACCUGCGCGCACUUGGCGGAGGGAGUGUAGACGCUGGAGACCUCCUGCUGCUUCGUUGUUGUCGCCCCCUAAAUUGGGGACUAUUCUCAGCUCAUGGCAAUUUUCGACUAUCAGCUUCUGUAGUUGGGUAGGCAAGAGCAGCAGUCCUCCUUCUGCCGUCGCCACUAUUUCCUCCUCUUCUUUUGUCUCUUGCUGCUGUGCUCCACUCUGCCGCUCUGACACACCAAGUUCUGUUAUCUUUUCGCAAUCAUAUAUGGCCAGGCCGGUGAGCUUCGGAAAAUGAGAGAGCAGUUGAGUCAAUUCUUUCCCGCUAGCACCACUUCCAUAAAUUGUGAGGUUUUCAACUGGAACCUGGCACAGGACAUGGCCCUCGCCUCCGACUGGAGACAGGACAAUACUCGACCGACCACUUAUAGUGAGCUCCCGCAGAGAUGUUAGCAUUUGGAUUUUAUCCAACGGCAAAGGAGGGCAAUUGUGUAGAUUCAAUAUUUUUAGUGCACUCAAAUUACAGAAAGCCAACUCUUUCGGAAACAAGCUACUUGUACCAUCCGCUGCGUAAAUGUCCAAACUUAAUUUUGGUUCUGAGUAAGUGAGCUCCUCAAUUGAGCCUGUUUGUUCUAUCUCAAUGGAGCAUAGACUAUCAGUCCAGGGGAUAGCAGGCAUUGUCCUCAGCUUUGGGCAUCCUACAAUCCUGAGCUUUCUUAGUCUAGGGAACCAAGUCAUGUUCUCUCCUUCCUGCUCUGGCUGAGAGCAAGUAGAACAUGAAAACGGCAACUCUAUAAGUUCAGGGCAGUCUUCAAUAAUGACCACUUCCAGGUGGAGGAAGAAGCCACAAUUUUGAUUUCCAGCCCACCUUUUCAGUUUUGGUAUCUUAACAAACACUAGCCUUUUCAAAUUUUGAAAGCCUUGUUUUUUGAGACAAUUUUUUUGAAAGCUUGGGCUUGCGAUGCAACCCUUGCACUCACCAUGGGGCUCAUGGACCGACCAGAACUCUCCUAAUGGUGGAAAAGUUUUCCAAGAUACAUUAGCCAAGUGAAGAGAUUCCAAAUUUUUGACCAAGAGGUUAUCACCUAGCCAUCUUGGGCAACUAGUACCUCCGUGUCCUGUAAUGCACAGAUCUCGAAGGUCACUAUGUGGUACAAGAUUUUCAAUAACAUUUUCUUCUCUUGUUGGUUCCCUGUUAGAUCGUUCCACAUCCCACUCUAAUGUUAGUUCACGCAAGUGGUUCCUAUGUAUUGGUCUUAUUUCCUUAUCCCGGCCCCCCUUUUUUGGCACCUUUUCAAGAUUAUAGAUGCCAAGUGACCCUCCCAACUCUGUUAACUGCGUGAGCUGACUUAUUUCGAAACCAGUACAAUCAUUUCGAACUUGAAAUCUUCUUAAUUCUGAAAGCAGUUUAAGUUUUCCCACCUCAGAUAUGUCAGAAUGAACUUGAGGCAUAUUUUCUGGCACAAUAAAAUGACGAAGCUUUACCAGGUUGGUGAUAUGUUUUAUUGAAACAGGGUCGUUCCACUUUUCAAAAUUUAUUAUCUCUAGAUGAUAAAAUCUGAACAACAUACUCGGUAAGUCGAUGUUGCAUCUAUCAUCGCUUGGCUCGAUCCUUAGGUAACGAAGAUGGAUGGUUUCUGAAAAAUUAUGCAGAAUGUCCUCUAUAGAGUAUGAUGCUCCAGAUAGAAAAAUAGUACGAAGGGCUUUAGCUUUUUUAAAUAGAUGAGCAAAGGUCUUCGUGAAGCUACCAUGGUAUCGCCCAAACACCAUCAGAGUACGUAGGUUUUCAACUUUUAAUCUUUUCCCUAAUGCACUCAAAUCAUCUUUAUAGUCACCGAAAGUCAUUCUAUCAUCAACAUCUUUAUCAUCUACAAUUAUGGAUAAGUGACGUACAGAUGGGGAGAUGUGUAUGGACCUGACAUUAGAACUACAUAUGCUAACACACUCAUCUGACGAUACCUUUGUGGCCAAUUCAUGCAAUAGAUCAUGAACAACAUAAAAAUAACGACCAUCUUCUUUUUUGUUUUUUUUGAAAAAUCCGUAAUUGACCAACUCAUGCAAAUGGUCUAGUCCAACAUCUUCAGUUCUUCUAUUCUGGUCAAAUGGAUGCAAAAUACCUAGUCCUAUCCACAAUUGAACUAACUCCUUGGUAUCAAAUUCGUAAUCUUCGGGAAAUAAAGCACAAUACACAAACAACUGUUUUAAAUGGAAAGGGAGAAAAUCAUAGCUAAGUUUGAGGGCUGGCAUGAUGUCACUCUCACUGGUUUCUAAUUCCCAUUCUUUGCUUUCUAGAACUCUUUUCCAAUGGUCCAAAGUAAGUUGGUUUCGUAGUAAUCUACCUACAGUUUUAGUUGCAAGAGGGGAACCUUUCAAAUGGCGCACUACUUCAUGACCAGUUUCAUGUAAUGCAGCAGGAUGUUUUCCCCAUGGUUCUAGCUCAUUACCAAAUACACAUGCUUCAAAGAAACGCAUGGUAUCUGCAUCAUCUAGUCUUUCCAGUUCUAGUUCACAAUUGGUUGUCUUAACCAUUUCUGCUACCAUUGGUAUUCGAGUUGUGACUAUAAUGAAAUUACCCUUGGACUCAACCUUUUUCAAAGGUGCUAUUAGUUUUUUCCACUCAUCCUCUCGAUAUGUCCACAUAUCAUCCAAGACGAGUAAAAACCUCUUACCUUUUAAUCUUUGUUGGAUAAGUUCUUCGGCACUAGCAUUCUUCUUUUCACCAUCAACUUUAGCGAUUUUGUUGACUAUCUCUUGUGCCAACCUAUCUGCACUGAAAUCAAGAGAGACACAUACCCAAAUUGAAGCCUGGAAAUAGCUACUCAUUUCUUGGCAUAUGUGUUGCGUAAAAGUUGUUUUUCCAAUACCCCCAAUUCCAAAAAUUGGAAGCACGUUAAGUUGACUGAAAGAGUACUCGUGACUAUUAAUGACAUCUACAAUUUUCUUCUUUUGGUCAUCCCUCCCGUAAAAAUCAGGUUCUACAAUCUCUGAUGUGGUUUUGGAUCUGUUUAUAGCAAUUUCUUUGGUGUGAGUGCAGUUGGAGCCCAACAAAUUUAGAUUAAGAAUUAUGGAGACCUUAGCACAUACUUCCUUUAGCUGCACUACCAUGUCCAUCAUCAUUUGAGACAUUUGGACCCUAUUAAACUUCAAUUCUUCGCAAUCGCUAUGGUUUGCAAGCUCCGGCAUGAUAGCUUGAGGAUCAUCAUUUUUGGUUUGAACAGUCACAUGGGCUUGAGGAUUAUCAUGGUGGGCAGAUAUAGGAGAGUAGCAUGGAAAGUGUUUACCGAAUGUGUGGGCAGCGUUGCGAGCACUUGAGAUGACCUUGGGCAUGCAUCUGCCAUCAACCUUCUUGACACCCCCCUUGUUGGCGGGCGUCGGUGACGAGGAGCUGAUGCCCCGCCUGCCACACAAGCGUAUGCCAGAGAGGCAUCGUUGCUUGCCAUCAUUUUCUUGGUGUUCACCGGGAUCACUUUCUUGGUGAUCACUAGGAUCACUUUCUUGGUCACCACCAUGGCUAGGAGCACCCAAGAGUUUGCUGGUGACAUGCCUUGCCGUGUGUUCAGCAUUGAUGCGGAUGGCAUGGACGGAACCCACGGCAUUCACGUCGGCGGCAUGGUAGGUUCCAUGAAGGGCGUCGUGGAUGCGGAAGUACUCCAGCUCAUCCAGCACAUCAUCUGCCCCGUACGCCAGCUGCUCGAGCUUGCGCAGGAGCUCCUUGAGCGCGACGCCACGGACGCCCCUGCCCUGCGCGUUCUCGAGCAUCCCAUGCGCAUACAGCAGCUCCAUCUUGAGGGCGUCGAUGUUGUGAUCGAGAUUGGCGCUAGCCGCCCAGGCCUCCAGCAAGCCAUCCGUGACGGGGGCCAGCGCCUUGCCCAGCACCCACUUUGCGGCACCGAUGGCGGUGUCCAUCCUCCGCCUGAAAUAUCACUUGCAAAUACGUACAUCCAUUGAUUAUUAGUCACUAACAGAGUAACCGUGCUAAUUGUAGAUUGAUGAUUCGAGACGAGGAUUAGAUGGAAGAAAGAUGCACGUACCGCCGUGAAACCCCCCUGCCUGGAGGCGCUGAGGUGACCCAAGGCGUAGUGGGAUGUGCACGGAGAGAGAGAGAGAUAGCAAUCAGCAGGUAGCAGUAGUGUGCGUAGAGGUGUGUGGAGAGCGAUGUGCAGCAGGAGGGGGUAUAUAAAGAGAGGGUCAGGGCCCUCCCCUAGAAAAAGAAAUUACGGGAUGAAGUAAAAUAAUGGCUGCCAGCAAGAGGUUUAGUGCCGCCACAUUAAAAUAAAAUGGAGACUCUGCUUCAGAUCUCGCGCCACGGCUGCUUAUGAAAUACGAGUACUCAGGAAUACUCUGUGGAAACUUUUGACUCGACCUCAACGACCGUUGAGAAGCAGCAGGUGACCGGACAACUGCGCUUGAUCUGAGGCGCUGCUUGAGUUACUGACCCCCACGGUGUUCUUCGGGAGAAUGCGUUGAAACAUUGAAGACGAUGAUUUAGUUUUGAGGUACAAUGGCUUCUGUUUGGGCGGCCGGUCUCUCUAUCUCAUAUAUACUUACUCUCUUUCGUAAUACAAUUACCUUUUUUUUACUUGUUCUGCUAUUUUUCACUCUGCGUCACAAUCGGGACACUAGAUAGACCAUCCUGUUUCACUCGGUAUUUUUCAUGGGUGCGUGAUAAACUGCCUUUUAGUCCUAAUUUUAAUAGAGUUGGCAUUGUUGUGCUAUGCUGGGCUAUUCGGAAAACACAUAGCAGAGCUUGUUUUGAGGGCGCAUGACUCGGCCAGGGCCUCGGCCACUGGGAGGCUUCUACGCAUCAUGGAAGCAGGAAAGCCUGGAUAUGCUGGAGGGGUAUUGAAUUCCGAUGAAGAUGACAAGAUGAUUUGUCUAGGACCAAAUGCAACAUGCAGGUAGCAAGUCCCGCGAAGCAAACUCAAAUUCCUUGUUUGUGUAGUUAUGAUGCCAACCCAAGGUUAGUUGUUAAUAUCCAAUGCACAAGUUGUGCUUACACUAUGAAAUGUUUAGCUGUCGCUUCACCAACUGAUCUAGCAACAAUAUUAUUACUGAUGUAUCAACGGCGGCUUUUUGGAGUCAUUUCAUUUGGCGCGAGGGACGGGACACGGUAUUUGUCUGCUCUGCUCCGGGUACAACCCUCCCUAGAUGCCCUUGUCCAUAUGAUCCAAGCUAAUAUGCACUACCUUCGAUUUGUUUUUUGAAAUAUAGUAAUGACUAAUGGCAAGGUUAUGUUAUCUUUUUCGUCCGUAUACUGAUAUGAAUAAGCAGAAUGAGUUGGGCCGUCGUUGAUAAGACCAACUACUAGUAGUCUUGGCGUCUUGGUCAUUUUGUUAAUGGACAUGUGCUGGCUACUGAUGGCUGCAUCUCAACCUCUCAAGUCAAGCCAUCGAGUCGCCUUGAUUAAACCCCGUCGAUAGUCUUUGUGGAACUCAAACACCCAACAUCGAACAAGGCUCUGCGUGUGCGGUCGACAAUGACGGGCCAACCUCAUCGACAUACGUGCUCUGCUGUGGAAGCCUGCAGCCAUGAAACACUGAAAACAGCAACUUAGGAUUAAACGUGAGAAGAGAAGGGCAGAAAGGUUUAACCUGUCUUACACUGAAGAUGAAGAUUCCAAGUCAUGGUGCAGCAAGCAAUGGAUAUGGAGAAUGGAAUCUACAAGGAGCUCCUAAGGCGCAGGAUUUCAAUGCCAUCGUAAAGCUUGGAUCGUCCAGAGAAAAAUGGGCUGACAGGAGGAGCCAGGGGCGACUGGGGGACUAUGAAGGCCGACGUCGUGGCUGCCUUCGCCGAGCUGCGCAAACUCUGUGGACGCAAGUUUCAGGGACUGAAUCAGGCACUGUUGAUCUUUCUGCCCAAGCGAUCGGAUGCCUCCACCCUGAAGGAUCUUCGCAAAGAUGGCCGUGAAGAUCCUAGAUAUGCAUGUCAGGUUGUCGUCCAGGUUGGGUGCCCUGUACAGGGAGGGGUUUCUCGUUGCUCGUAGCUUUGUUAGUGCUCAUUAGGCAUCAGGGUUGCACACCAACUUCACAAAGUGUUGGAUGUCCGCCAGAGGCUGUUCUGACGAGAUGGCCCUCGAGGCUGCAUCGAUGAUGGAGUGUGAGCUUGCUCCUUUCCCGGUCAAGUCUCUUUUUUUUUGAAAAAAAGUACCUUAGCAAUCCCCCAUCGCUUGGAUUUUGCUGGAAGCCUCUGAGUGGGCCGAAAGAGAGAGAGGGCCCAAACAGCUCGGCCCAGAUUUUCCGGCGUCGCCAAGAGGUGUGAAGAACAGCCACGCCGCCGCCGGCCCGCCGAGCGUAGGAGUGAUGAACCGUCGAGCUGUCGCCGAGAGGGGACCUCACUCCUCAUAUCUAAAACCGGUGUCGUUGCCGAUCCAUCCACGUAACGUAUUGAGACCAACAUUCGGUUCAGCCUACUAAAGCGCACACCACAUGCACAUGUUUUAGGAGCCGUCAUCAUCAUCAGACCACUGACCCAUCUUCAGGAGAGAUCCGCAUCCUCCUUGCCAGUCCGGACAUCCGUUGACGCCACCACGGCGCCUAACGGCGCCACCGCCAUGCGCUCAUCCGUCAAACGCGAAGUCUCUCGAAGAUCUGUCGUGCGUAGCACCUGCCAACCAGGCAUGACUCAACGUAGGACCUGUCGGUCAGGCAUGAAUUGAUAGCUCCAGUGAAGCUCCGUGCAAGACGAAGCCGCUCCACCUCCUGCCAGUCUUCCAGUGCCCUCCACAAACGAUGCUCCCAAGAGAGAAACGGCAUCGUAGUACCGCCAUCGUCCGAUCUGGAAGACCGGAUCCCAGGGUUUCCCCCGAAGCAGCACGAGUGGGUCGACAACAGUUACACGAUGAUGCUUUCAUCAAGGUAACGGCGCAAAGCGCCGCCAUCGCCCGCCAACGGCUCGGUUUUCACCGGCAACCCAUGUCUCCCCAACUCGUAUCUGGGACUAGAUGACGAAUCUUGAGAUCCGACCACCUAGCCGCAGGCCGACCACCUCUGGCGGAAGAGAUGACCACCACCGCUGCUGCACCGGCCAGAACAGAUCUGACCAGAGGUGCCGCCAACGCAACCACCAUGCCCUCCACGCCGCCGCCGCCGAUCCAAAGGUAGAUAGCGCGCAGCCGCUGCCGAUCCAAAGGUAGAUGGCGCGCCGCCGCCGCCCGAACAGGGCUAGUCGUCACGCCCGCAGCCCGCGCCGCCUGCGCGCUGCAGCCAUCGAUCGGAUCGGGCGUGCCUCCAUACGAAUCGGGGCCCCGCACAACCCCGGAGACGCGGGAGAGAGGUGAUGUCCUCCGCUACCGCGGUCGGCCCCCGAGCUUAGGCCAGCGGCAUCCCUUUGCGGCGGCGGAGGGAGGAGAGGAGGGAGUGCGGGCUGGCGGCGGCUAGGUUUUUGUGUGCCGCCCGAGUCGCCCUAGCGGCGGGCUACACGGGAGCCCUUUGCUGGGUUGUUUCGCGAUGGGUCUCACCUGCCUCGCUGGGUGUGAGUCAAACCAUUAUUCACCCUCAGCGUUGAAAGUUGCAUCCACAUAUUAUUUUUUUUGGAACGAAGGCUCAAGAAGAGCUCGGCUUUGAAUUAACAAAACCAUUAACCGGCCAGGUAUUACAUCGAAUAAACCACACACAUGAAAAAAAUGGCUGAUACGAAGUGCUGCUACAAUAGCUCACAGGUAGCAGCAAAACAAGCACACCAGCCGAAGGAAAAAUGAAGCACAGCUUGCAGCGCCGAUCCAUUGUCUACCAACAUGACCGCCACCAGGGAGGAAGCAAAUGUCUUGAACUACCACCGGAAAUGUGUCGCUAUCCACUCUUAGAGGCCAAGCAAGAUCUCCAAGUCAUCCGUCUCCACCUCUGUAGAGGGCCCCUACCCUCUCGCCCAGGAUCGAAGGGCGCCGCACCGACGGCAGGCGGAGUGGUUCCCCCGAGAACACGGAUAACCAAAGAGGAUCGGGCUGACAACAGAAAAGGAUUGGGAAACAGCAACCAUAGGUCAUUCCAAUUACACUACUACCGCACAUGGAACAACCACAUGGCAAGACAAGAGCAGUUGAACGUAGACACGAAUGAAGAGAACCAUGGCACCACCACCAACCACAUACAGCAACAGGCCUCCUCGCAGUCCCCAAGCGACGCCUUCAAGAAGGGGAGUGACACGGAGUGCCACCGUCGCCCAAAACAGGGGACUAGGAUUUUCAUCCGAAAGCAAGGGAAUGGGUGGGCGGAAAGGACCUCGAUGAAGCCUCCAUGGAGGGGAUCGGCACCAGCAGCGUCGACAUCGCCAUGACCAACUCGCCGGUCAAGGGUUUCCCCCGGUCUCACCCCCACCCCAACCACCCCCGUCGGCAAGAACCAGAUGGGACAAGAAAGGUUGCAAGGAGGUGGGGUUGGGUUUCUGCAGAUCAGACGCCAGGUCCGGCGAGAAGAUCCUGUCGUCACGCGCCACGCAAGCCAAGCAACCCAUGCCGUCCACACGGCCACGGGUGUUGGCCAGCACCAACGGACGCCACUCGCCGUAGAGUCGACGCCGCCCACCACCCGAGGCCGCCGCCCCAGCACCCGAAGACCAACCUAGCCUGCCACCACAAGGAUGACAAGCCCCAAGCGCUUAGGUAGCCACCCCACCUACGGCGCUCGAGCUGCUCGCCCACCAACCCAUUCACAAUUGGAGUCAAACCACCCGAGAAGAAAUGCACUGAUCCAGAUCCACACCAGGUCGUAGGAGCCAGCGCCCCAAGAAGAAAUCGACGGGAAGCCACCGCAUCGAGAGGCCUCCAGCCACGACAGCGAAGAGAGAAAGCCUUCGCCGGCUGUACCAAGAUGUAACCUUGGACAGGCUGCAUGAGGCCCCAACACCGAUCCAGCAGCACGAGGAGCGGCUGGAGACGACGCCCUUGUCGCAUCCCUGCACCUCAAGCACCAGGGAUGCACGCCGGCAUCAGGCAAACACCGUGGCUGCGCAGGUUGCGACGAAGGCGAGAUCCAAUCUUGGCGCAUCUCCGCGGGAGGGAAAGCUCGAGUGAGGAGGGAGGAAGGGGAGCGAAGGUUGCGGGGGAGCCCCGCCGCCGCCGCGAGCAGGCCAGCGGCGAGGGAGGAGGAAAGUGGGGGUGGGCCUGGUGGCGCUAGGUUUUGGCUCCCCCCGAGUUGCCGAGGGAGGACGACGCGGGGGUCGGGGGGGCUAGCUAGUUCGUUGCAUCCACAUAUGAGAAGGUCUUCGAUAGGUAUGGCCAUAUUGGCCGGCCCUUACUUUGCAAUUGAGUUAAAUAGUGAGAAAGCACUGGUAGCUCCUGAAGCUGUAGACUAGGAAUAUGCGAGAAUGAUGUCAGAAUUUCUUGACCAUUUUAGUGACCUUGUUGUCUCUGUUUCCCUCUAAUAAUUGCACAUAUCACAUUUUUUUCCAAUGAAAUUAUUGAUGUUUAUAUCUUGUUGAUAGUGUGGUGUGAGAGUACCGAUGCUUUGUGGAAGGAAAUGGUUGAAAGGAUGAUAACUAAGUACAACUAGUACUGGGGUGAUCACAAAAUCUUCAACAUUUUGAUCUUUGUGGUUGUUGCUCUUGAUCCAAGGUACAAGCUACCAGAUUACACAAGAUUGGCUACUUUUGAGAUGUUUGGUGAGGUCAAGGGGGAAGAAGUUUGGAAAAGGAUGAGUAAAAUACUUAACAAACUUGUUUAAGGAGUAUGGUAACAUGUAUGCUUCAAGUGAGAAAAAGGAAAUGAUAUCAAAUGUGACACAAAGAUCUGAAAUGUAAGGCACAAGUAGGCUGAGGUCCCUAAUCUGAAAUGUGACACUAUAACUACCACUACGUUGCCGGCAGGAUAUGUAUAGUAGUAGCGCUUUCUACAGCCCGCGCUACUGCUAUUCAUCUUAGCAGUAGCGCUCUUCCUGGACACGCGCUACUACUAUGGGUGCCUUAUCCCCAAUUUUUCCUCCCCCGCGCCCGACCAUUUUCUUCCUCCCCUCGCUCCCCGCUUCUCACUCUGCCUCCGCCGCCGCCGCAUUGCCGCCGCCACCGUCCUCCUUGUCCUUCUUGGUACGCCCUCCUCUCCCUCCUCCUCCCGUCGCGCCCUCCUGCCUCCUCCUCCUCCACGCACCACCGGCCCUUCCCUCCUCCAGUUGUCAUCGGCCCUCCUCCCUCCUCCUCUAGUCACCGCUGGCCCUCCUCCUCCAGCCGCCGCCAGCCCUCCUCAGUCCUCCUCCUCCUAGUUUAUAGUUUGAAAAUAUUCUAGUUUCUAGUUUGUAGUUUAUACUUUAUAGUUUAUAGUUUCUAUAUUAUAGUUUGUAUUUUACUACAUUUAGUUGGUAAAAAAAUGUCCUCUACUUGUUAUAUUUUGAAAUUAGGGCUUUUUCUAGGGUUCAUAGUAUGUUUUGAAAUAUAUUUCAGCAAUCAAACUCUAAGUUGUGUGAAAUUAGGGUAUUUUUCUACGGUUCAAGAAGUAGACAGUAGGUAAAAGAUGAGGAUAAUAAUGUUCUUAGGGUUUAGGAAACAAAUUGCAGACAGUUGAAAUUUUAUUUGGAAUCAAAUUGGAUAUUUACUUGAUAGCUUAGGGAGUUUCACUAAGUCCUAAGAUGACGAUAAUAAUGUUUUGUUUAUAUUUUGUUUUUGCAGAAAUCAAGGAGCCCCUCCAUCAUCCUCGCCGUCAUCCUCGCCACCGACCCCCUCCGACCUCGAGGUGAGACCAGCCACCCCAUGUUGUUAAUUUAAUUUAGGUAUUUUACUUGUUUAAUCUUAGAAUAAUGUAGUAUGAACCCUAGUUAUGACAAACCAUGUUCAAAAUGUAGGUUUUUAAUUAGGUCAAGUUAAUAGAAUUUAGGUGCUUUAGGUGUAUUUAAUAGAAUUCUAGGUUGAUUCAUUUUGAAGUGGACAUGUCAUAUUUUGAACAUGUCACAUUUGUUGUUAUUUUUUUAGUUAAAGCAUUAUUCCUGCAUCGACGUCGACGAUGCUUAUCCCGCAUCCUCGUCGUCGACUCGGCGAAGGAGGCCUAAUUGAUCAGAGGGGCCAUGUCCGGGACUGGGCUCCGUCAGGAUGGUACUGGGAGGUCCUACCCUGGGGGGGGGGGGGCAGCUUGGUAAGGAGUCAGCCCGUCAUUGACCCGAACCUUCUUUGAUGGCGGUCGCGUGGGCCACUAAUGAUGCGGAGGAUUUCGUCCCCCGCGGAGGUGAUACGUCACACAUGUCAGCGAGGAGGACGAGCACGCCCAUCGCUACAUGGUUGUGUUGGAGGGCAGGUUCAACAAUACUUGGCAGGUUCUUCAGGGAUCUCACUAGAGCUAUGAUCCUGUGAUGGUUCCUUCUCUUUGGGUGUCCACCGCCAGCAUUGAUACCCAUCAUUCGCUAGGGUUGUAGCUGUAUUAGUGAUGUUAUAUGGAUAAUACUAUUCGAGAUGUAUUAGUGAUGAUAUUCGACGAUGUACGGACUCAAGAGAUGAUUUAGUUUUGCUUAUUGAAUGCAUGCUAAUUUGAAUACUAAUUUUGAAAUGUUUUAAUUUGCUUAUUAGUGAUAAUAUUCGACGAUGUGCGGAGCCCCUGCAACAUCCCCGCCGUCAUCCCUGCCACCGACCCCCUCCGACCUCGAGGUGACCAUCAAGAUUGAAUGCCCAUAUGAUGUAGAUAUAAACCGUUGAAAUGCAAUGACCAUCAAGUUUGAAUGCAAAUACGAUAUGUGCUUGCCCAAGUGGCCAUGUUUGCAGGUAACACCUCCGAGUGGCCUAUGUUUUGCCAGAGUAUUGAUUAAUUUUCGUUCCUGCAAAUUUCAGGCGCUCGAUAUGUCCUUUUUUAGUAAAGGUCAUGCCGGAUUUUUCCGUGAAUUUUGGCAUGACUUGUGCUAGAAUAUGUAGGAAAUAUCGAGUGGCCUGGACUUUCUAGAAAGAUAAUUGAACAACAUUUCGGGUUGACUUUAAGUUUGUCGAGGCUCCAUACAUGACAAUCAAAAAAUGAGUGAGGGAGAAAGUUUGCAUCAAUAUAUGAGAGAGGCAGAAUCCCAACUGUUGUCGUGGGGGUCGUUUCUCCUUCUUCUCCUUGUGCUAGACCUUUGUUAUGCACUAGGGGAAGGAAGAGUAACAACCAUCACCGACGGUCGAAAAAUCAGUGAAGGAGUGUGUCCACCAUAUAUGAGAGAAGAAGAAUGCCGAUGGUUGUCGUGGGGGUCGCUUCUCCUUCGUUCCCGCCUGGCUGAGGAAGGAGACGGCCGAAGCGUACGUGCUCGCUGCCCACGGCGACGGAGGAAAGAAGAUACCCAAGGGGUACCUCCCGCUGGCGUUGGUGGGCGAGGAUGGGGACGACGACGAGAGGGUGGUGGUGCGGAUCGGGGCGCUCAAGGAGCCAUGUAUGGCGGCGCCGCUGGAGAUGGCCGCGCAUCAGUUCGGCUACGGCCAGCCAGGCGUCCUUAGGAGAAAAAAGUCCAAAACAAACCUUGAACUUGUAGGCAAAAGCUAAAUAGAACCCCAAACUUUCAAUCCCGAAAAUUAGCACACCAGACUUUUUGAUCCCGGUCUAUUUUAAACCUCGAGGGCGUUUAGCUGGUAUUUGCUGACGUGGCAAGGAUCGUUGACUGGGCUGACUGGACAUUAGGACAAAUUGGCCGGCCCAGUAGCAUGGUCGCUCGCGCGCUCGUUAUGCUCUUUUUUUUCUUUGUUUUAUGUUUUCAUAAGAAUUUUUUUAAAAUACUAGCAAAAGAACCCGUGCUUUGCAACGGGAGAGAAAACAUAACACACGCUCUUAACCCAACAACCAUCACUCAAGACCACAAUAGGUCCAUCUCCUUUAUUUUUGCGAGGCAUCAUAUUUGUGUUGCCGCUUAUCCUCCUUGUUACCCUCGUCGGCGAUGGCCUUGGUGUUCACACAAAAAAACGUGUUUGAAUAUGGUUAAGGCGUCUCUCUCUCCCUCUCUCCUCCCUCUCCCUCCCUAUCUCUCUCUCUCUCUCUCGCUUUCUCUCACUCUCGCGAUGAGAAAUCUGUUGUUUUCCCCUACGACAUUUUUUAGAGAUAUGCAUGUGUAGUUAUCAAUAUUUACUUUUUCCUAUAUUGUUAUAGUGGGGUGUUUAUUUGCAAUCCGGAUCACCGACGGUACGAAAAGAAAACGGAUCUUACGCUAUAAAUUAUAAUUUUGCUCCCAAAACAAUAUUUUAAAAAUAUUUAACAGGUAAAUUAACAUCAUAUUUAUAUUCCACACAUUUUUCUAAUAAAAUUUCAUAUAUAAUAUGUUAAAAUCAAAGUUACGGUUUAAAAGAUACGAAUAAUUUAGAAAAUCAUUUGUUUGACUUAAAUAUAUUUCAAAAUAAUAUUUAAAAAUACUUAACAGGUAAAAAUAAUCUAAUAUUCAUAUUAUACAUAUUUUUCUAAUCAAAUUUCAUAUAUAACAUGUUUAAAUCAGAGUUACGGUUUAAAAGAUAUGGAUGAUUUUAAAAAACUUGUUUGACUUAAAUAUGAUCCGCGGAUGAAUUACCUAAAACAUCGGGGGGUUUCGAAAAAUGUAAAAUAACGAUUCGGGUGUGACUUAAAUCCGGACUACGGGUUGAUUUCAAAAAAAUACAGGGCCUUUUGUGUAAAAUAUGAAAAAACGUUUCAUUUUAACUUAAAACAGGACCACGGGUUGAAUUCACUCAAAUAGAGGGACUUUUCUGAAAACUGUCAUGACGGACGAAAGAAACUAAAUUUGCUUCUUUUUUUGCGGAAAAACUUCCAAUGUAUUCAUCUUCAAUCAUGGCAGUACAAUGAAUAUCAGAAAUAAAAAUUACAUCCAGAUUCGUAGACCACCUAGCGACGACUACAAGCACCGAAGCAAGCCGAAGGCGCGCCGCCAUCAUCACCCCUCCAUCGCCGGAGCCGGGCACAACUUGUUGUAGUAGACAGUCGGAAAGUCAUCGUGCUAAGAGCAUCUCCAACAGCCGCGCGAAACGACGUGUGCGCGCGGUAAACGCAGCUUUUAGCGCGGGAGGGGGGGGGGCGUUUUGCCGCGCUCCAGCGGUGGCGGGAUAAUCGCGCGCGGGAAUCGUUUGCGCGCGCCCGCGAAAAGGCGCCAGCUCGCGCCUCAUUUUUUGCGCACCGCUCGCCUAUAAAGUGCGGCGCGCGCCACGCGCCUCUCCACGCCUCUUCUUCCUUCCCUCUCUGCCACGCGCCGCUCGAGCGCCCCGCCACCGGCGCGCCGCUCCAGCGCCCUGCCAUGCCGCCGCGCCGCCGAGGAGCGUCCGGCUACCGCGGCAUCCGCCUGCGCCCCAACGGCGGCUACUACGCGGAGAUACGCUCCUGCGAUCUCCGGCUCGGCCUCGGCACGUACGGGACGGCGCGCAAGGCCGCCCAAGCGUACGACGCGGCGGCGUGGCGCCUGGGCCGGCCGCGCGGCCAGAUAAACUUCCAGGACGUGUACACGCUCCAGCAGGCGCUCGCCGUCGCCCCGCCACCUCGUCUGAACACAGCACAAGACCGUGCGGAGCAUGCCGAGCGGCAGUGCCGCCUCCUCGUUGCCCAGGAGGACGAGCGGGUCAUGGCGGAGUGGCGCCGGCGCCACCCGGAGGACGUCGCCUACGAGCAAGCCUACUGGGCAAGGCGUCGCGAGGAGGACACGCGAAGGCGCCGCGAGGCGCGGUUGGACAGGUGUUGGCGAACGAGCAGACCGAUCUCGUUGCAGCAGGUCGUAGGACGAUCUUCACCCCCGAGGAUGAUCGUUGGUUGGACAUAUGGCUAUCAACCUCGGACGACACCGCCGAGGAUGAUAAUGGUGAUGAUGAUGAUAGCGACUUAGAGUAGUUUUUUAUGCUAUCUAUUUAGUUUUUUAUCGUUUGUCGUUUUUAAAUUAUACAAUCUAUGUUUUCGAUGUAAAAUACCUUUGUAUCGUUUAAAAUCCUAUGCAAUCUAUCUAGUUUCUAUGCUAUGCCUAUAUCCUAGUUUGUAGAAUGAGCGCGCGCGCUGCAAGUUUUGCGCGCCUGCUGGAGCGGCCCGCACGCGCUGCAUUUUAGUGUGACGGCUAGAGCUGGCGCUGCGCGCCACGCCAAACCAGGCGAUGGGCGCGCGCUAAAGCCAUUUUUUGCGCGCGGCGCGUUCAGCGGCUGUUGGAGAUGCUCUAAGGCCCCAUACACUACUAGGAAAAGGGCUAUAGAUAGGACUGAUUCUAAUGACGCACUAGGUAAUUAGUGCGCCACUACUAUAUACUAAUGGCGCACCGGUUGCUCGUGCAUCAUUAGUGUGGAAGACACUAAUGGCGCACCGUGCUCACGGUGCGCCACUACUAUUGAUUUUCCCCCCAUUUUUCCAUACAAACUACUGGCGCAUGGAUGGCAAAGUGCGCCAUUACUAGUUAGAACUAGUAAUGGCGCACGACCAAGACAAUGCGCCAUUAGUAUAUAUUUUUUUUUACUUUUUUGCAAACCUACUAAUGGCGCACUAUUCCAAAGUGCGCCAUUAGUAGUUUAAACUACUAAUGGCGCACUGUGCCACGGUGCGCCAUUAUCAUAAUUUUUUUUUUACUUUUUUGCAAAACUACUAAUGGCGCAUGUCACUGUGGUGCGCCAUUAGUAUGUUGGGUUACUAAUGGCGCAUGGCUUAGUGGUGCGCCAUUAGUAACCUGGGACCAGCUAGAUAUUUUUGGACAGCCACACCUACACACUCACUUUCCCCAUUUCAUUCCCCCCACCUCCUUCUCUAAGCUUGUCGGCUGCCUCCUCCUCCUCACCUCAUUUGCACCAUAGAUUCAUCAAAAUUAAGUGGUGAAAUUACCUUUUUUUGAUAGGUAAGUAAGGGGAAAGCUAUCUUCAUGUUGUAGAUCUACUUUUUUUUCCCUAGCUCGCUCCAACAACAUGCACAUGCACUUUUUGUGGCCUAGCUAGAUCUAUGUAUGUUUGUGGUGUUGCUUAUGUUUGUGGUGUUGCAUAUAUGUUUGUGUUUGCAGGUACCGAUAUUUGAAAUGCGGUAGUUGCCAAUUUUUUGCCGGAAUGUUGAUUCAUUUCCGUUUCCACAAAAUGGGGGUCAUACUAUACCGCUGGUGUGCGGAAGGAGAAAAAGGCCAGUUCGGAAAGCCAGACGCGCGAGGUUGAAGCACUCAAGGCACAAGUGGCGCGGAUUCCGGAGCUUGUCCAAGAGCAAGUGGAACAACAACUGGGAACGAAGCUCAACGCCAUGGUGCCUACGUUGAUUCAUGGGCUGACAACGUGGAUUGCAGGCAGCCAACAGGGGCCUCCCCCGGUUCCCAGCUUCACGGCCAGCAACUCGCACAACGCGCAGGCGGCGCCAUUGGUGUCUCCGAUGGCGCCAUUGGUGUCUCCAGCGGCGGCGCCAUUGGUGUCUCCGGCGGAGGCUGUAUUCGUGUCUCCGGCGCCGGCACGGGCAUUGGAGCUUAAUGCACCCGGGUGUACGCCGGCCGGCACCUCGCCAGCAAGCUCCCCCUCCGUCAGUUGCAUGCCCGCCGUUGGCGGUGCCUCGACAUUAGCCGAGCUCGACGGCAUCACGGUAACUAAGCCUCUCGGCUGAUGACUUCAUCUCCUUGCCUUUGACUGGGCAUCCCUAACGCCCUGUACAUGUUUUCGUAGGGCACCGCCGACGUUCCUUGCACUCUUCUGCACUUCGUGGGAGCCGAGUUGGUCGAUGUCGCCAAGGGCAGAAUCGUUCAACCGGGCAACCGCAUGUUCCACGGUAAUCCGAUGCCACCCACAGUGUAUAGGGUUGAAGUGGUUCGGGUGCUGCCAGGCUGCGACGAGCUGUUACCUCCGGUUCGACCCGCUGGGACCGACGAAGAAGAUGAGAUGACCCUCAGCGCCUGCGUAAACUGGCCACUACUUUGGCCGAAGAGCCAGAUUCGUUUGGGGGCGAGGGACACCACCCCACAGACAAGACCGCCAGUCGUGCCGGCGCCAAGCCAUGGCAAGAACGCCGCAACGCUACCGGACCUGCCGGACAUCCCUAUGUCGGACAUCCCUAUGGCACAGGAUCCGGACAGCCCUAUGGCACAGGAUCCGGACGACGAUGGUACAUUUACCAAAGUCGAUAAGUACUUUGCCGAACAUGGGUACGCUGACGAGUUCUGCGGGCCUCUUUAUCAAGAACCCAACCAAGACGACCGCAAUCUAGCUGGUACGGCGGAGAAAUCCAAUUGCAAUAGGCGUCGUCUGCCGUUCAGUUCUCAGGAGACGCCUCCAGCUCCCGCCUUCACCAAGCCUCAGAUAGCUGAGGUGCGAAAUAUUAUCAGCCCCAACACGCUCAAGAAAGCGGUCUGUGAGCAGAACUCGGUCCCAUUACAGGAGAUCAAGAAGAAGGGACGGAAAUGAAAGACUAACAAGGGCGCCGGUGCGAGCCAGCCGGCACCGAGUUCGAUCUGUUCUCAGGACGGGCCACCUUCACCUAAGGAUAUCUCGAGAAGGGUGCAUGUGGCGGGUAGGGCGAUGCUACCGCCAAAUAUGUUGAAUGCUGCAACCGGUGCUAUGCGGAGUCUGCACGACAGUGUUCUUUCUUUGGAGAAGCGGCGUCUGAGAGAGAAUGAUGUGGCAUACCCGGUUUUCGUGGCCAAGGUGCCAGAGGGCAAGGGCUUUGCGGAUGGAGACAUCGGGGGUACGAUCGUCCUGCGGUUUGAUGACAUCUUUGCUAUGUUUAACCUUCAUCCGCUGCACUACACCUUCGUUCGGCUGUUUUCGCUGAGUAUGGAGAUGCGGAUCAUUAGAGAUAAGACCCCAGACAUCGUGAUAGUCGACCCCUUCUACAUGCGUGCCAAGCACUUGAACAACGCUAGGGACCGCCAAGUUGCGAGUUCACACCUCGAAGGCGUCAUUCUGGCAAACCCAGAUAAUGAUAACUUCCUUGUGGCUUACUUUCCCGAGUAAGUCAUCCCUUAACCGCCCCGUAACAUAUGAUUUCUUAGAUUUUGAUCGUUCUUUUUUUUUCUAACAUUCCGUGUUCUGUGCAGUGACACACAUUGCACACUCAUCCUCUUAAGCCCGAAAUAUUUCAUGGCCACGUAUUUCGACCCGAACCGUAACUCCAAGAUAGACUACACAAAUGUCAAGAAAGUUAUUGAUGAUGUUCUCCCCGGCUACGCCAAAUCUGGAGGCACCUUCACCAUGGCAGUUCGUAAGUACGGCAAGCACAUGUUCUCACACAAUACGAAGUUCUACUAUGUCAAGCAGCCGCCUGGCGGUCAGAAGGAUGCCUACUACGCCCUCCAUCACAUGCGGGCGAUCGUAAGGGACCAUCAUCAACUUCUGCUACCAGAUAAUCUCAAAGAUUGGGCCGCGAGCUUGUCGGCAGUCCAAGACGCGGACCUCAGACAAGAAUUCUUUCGCAUCCAGUCGGAGUUUGCGGACAUCAUCCAUCAAGAUGUCCUUCAUACCUCGGGGCAGUUCUUCGUCAGAUAUCAACCGUCCAACAGUGAGAUAGAUGAAAUGCUACAAAUGCAGGAUGACAACAACCGCGAUUUCAUGACCAUCACAACAGACGGCGGCUUCAUCCACGCUCCUGUCCGAUGAGUCGAGUCGAAAGUAGUGAUGUGUAGUUCUGAAACAUUGAUUAGCUCAUGUUGUAAUUAAACUUUAAUGAAUUCGUAUGUCUCUUUGGUUUGGACAGUCGUUCAACUUAGAUGUAAUCGAUACUAUUUAUUAGUAGGACCAUGAAUCGUGCUAUUAAUGUCUUGCUUUUCUCUUUCGAUCCUUUUGUUGCAUACUUACAUAUUGCUUAUGUAUUGUCUGUUGUUUGGCUUGUGCAUAGAGAUGUCGUCGUAUGUCGUGUACAAGGGUAAGGUUCCCGGAGUCUAUGACGACUGGGAGGAGUGUCGGAGACAGGUUCACUGUUUCAGCGGUAACAGUUACAAAGGGUACACCACUAGGGCGGAGGCCGAAUCUAGAUAUGCCCGCUAUCUAGCGGGAGAGAGGAGGGAGCGUUGGAGGAACCGGAUGAAGACCAGUUUGAUCGUGAUGAUGCUCAUCGUGAUGACCACAACUCUCUUUUAUGUGAUGGUAGUUUAGAUGAUCGAUAUCGACUUGUAAUGUGAAGACAAACUCGAUACUCGCGGUCUUGAGACUUGUAAUGUUUUAUCUUUGUUUGGUCUUUUGAAUUCGGAGACUAAUAUGAUGAAUUGUAUUCAGAGACUAAUGUUCUAUUGUAUUCAAUGAAUCUGAUGUUGCUGUGUGCUACUGUCUAUAUUCUGUCCAAUAAUAUAUUUUGUAACCUGUGCAAAAAUCAGAAAAGCAAAAAAAAACCAAAUAUUCAUACUAAUGGCGCAUCAAGGCAGAGUGCGCCAUUAGUAUGCCAAAGGAUACUAAUGGCGCAUCAAGACAGAGUGCGCCAUUAGUGUGACAAAGCACAUGGUUACAUAUGGCCCCCCGGAAGGCAUACUCAUGGCGCAUGGAGUUACAUACUAAUGGCGCACUGCCAGGUGCGCCAUUAGAAUACCAGAUACUAAUGGCACACCAGUAGUGCGCCAUUAGUAAAAAAUUCUAAUGGCGUGCUACUAAUGGCGCACCGGUAGUGCGCCAUUAGUAGGCAAAACCGGUGUGCCAUUAGUAGGCCUUUUCCUAGUAGUGAUAGGACCAGCACCCCAGAACAGCAACCACCGCCGAUGAAAAAUAACGUAGAUCGGAAGGAUCCAAACCGAAGACACACGAACGUAGACGAACAACGACGAGAUCCGAGCAAAUCCACCAAAGAUAGAUCUGCCGGAGACACACCUCCACACGCCCAUCAACGAUGCUAGAGGCACCGCCGGAACAGGGGCUAGGCGGGGAGACCUUUAUUUCAUCUUCAAGGAGCCGCCGCCGUCUCGCCUUCCUGAAUAGGACACAAACCCUAACAAGAUUGAAAAAAACGACUAGAAACGGAGCCCUCCCGCCGGCCCUUGCCAGGAUCCACCGCGCCUCCAUGACCCGAGGGCCACCGAAGACGAGGCGGACCUGCGCUGGCGCCGGCGAGAGGCACGAACCCUAACUUUCUUUCUUGGAGGAGGAGGAGGCGGAGCCCUGUUUUAUUUGAAUGAUGUUGACUCCCCAAAUUUUCUUUAUUAUUAGGUAAAGAUAUAUGAACGCACUUUUCAUAUAUUAGAAGCGACAAAAAAUAGAAGCAACAGUGAGCUUGUGAGAGAUCCCCAACUAGCUAGGGACCUGGAACUCGCGGCGGCCCGACAUAGCCAAUCGCCAUGACGGUUGUUAGCCAUUAUAAAUUGCUCCUUGCAUAUAAGGACAGAGAGAAACGUUUAUAUAUCAACACUUUAAAACCUUCUAAACAUUUUUUGAAAAGAAAAAUCUGAACAAUUUUAAAAUAAAGAAUUUUUUAACACAAAUAAUGUACGAAAUUCCAAAAAAAAACCGAAUAUGUGACAGAUUAACAUACUGUCAAAUAUACAUUUUACGUUUUAUAAAACUAUACGAACAUUUUAUUACAUAUUUUUUUUUAAAAAAUUCAGGUUUCAAUAUUUGUUGCAUUUUUGCUAAAAAUGUUUAUGUUCCAAAUAGUGUUUUCUUUUUCAAAAUGAUUGUGUUUUCAAAAAAAUUGUUCAUUUUUUCGGAAAAGUAUUCAGAAUUUUUAGAAAGUGUUCACACUUUAAAAGAACGGAUAUUUCAAAAGUCGUUCUGGCCUGCAUGUUUCCAAUAUACGUUUGCCGUAAAGAUAUUUUUCAAAUGUUUUUUUUGUGCCCUAAAAGAUAUUUUCAAAUCUGGACGCUAGGAUCUGUGGUUAAAUUGCUCGGGCCUCUAGUUAUCGAGAAAUAAGAGACGAAGCUCUCACCGAGCCUCCUCAGCGAUCUGAAACAUCUGGCCGUCCAUCUCGUUUGGUUGAUCAGGUCUAGGCCGUUGGAUCGAGCCUCGGGAGGACGCAGGGCGUACGAUCGAAGCCGAGGCACUAUAGGAAUGAAUAGUUACCGUCUCGCGGUAAAACUCUCGUGCCACCGCGCGUAACUUCGCAGCCCCCCCGAGGGCAUUUUAGUCAUUUCACUAUUGGGUAUAAAAUCUCGCCAGCACCCGUAGAACCCUAGCCGCCUCCUCGAUCGGGUUCUUCUCACCCCUUCCCAGCCGCUCGCCUCGCCGUCUCGCUCGCCCCGCCCCGCCGUCCCGCCCGCCCCGCCGCCCCNNNNNNNNNNNNNNNNNNNNNNNNNNNNNNNNNNNNNNNNNNNNNNNNNNNNNNNNNNNNNNNNNNNNNNNNNNNNNNNNNNNNNNNNNNNNNNNNNNNNNNNNNNNNNNNNNNNNNNNNNNNNNNNNNNNNNNNNNNNNNNNNNNNNNNNNNNNNNNNNNNNNNNNNNNNNNNNNNNNNNNNNNNNNNNNNNNNNNNNNNNNNNNNNNNNNNNNNNNNNNNNNNNNNNNNNNNNNNNNNNNNNNNNNNNNNNNNNNNNNNNNNNNNNNNNNNNNNNNNNNNNNNNNNNNNNNNNNNNNNNNNNNNNNNNNNNNNNNNNNNNNNNNNNNNNNNNCGCCCCGCCCCGCCCCGCCUGUCCCGCUCGCUAUGGCCGUGGCCGAUGACCGCGGCCCCGUCGUCCCGCCCCGCUCGUCCCGCUCGCCGUGGCCGUGGCCGAUGACCGCGCCACCAGGGACCGCGGCCACUCGAUGAGGAGGCCUGGACCUUGGCGCAGACCCGUGCCCCCGUGCUGCGGCGGCGGCAGAUCCCUCAUCGCGGAGCUAGCCCUCUCGCCGGUGCCACGCCGCACCGCGAUGCCGCUGGCUUGGAGGCCCGUGUUCAGGCAGCCGCCGCGGCGUCGCCGGAUGCGGUGGCAGGCUCUCAGGGGACCGCUUGGCAGGGGGGCCGUCGCGACUUCCGAUGGCGCCAAGCCGUAGAUCUGAGCCGCCGUUUACACUUAGGUUUCAAUUUGGUGCCUCCACUCCUCGCCACCUCUCCCUCUUUGAUCUUGUUUGUUUGUAGGCCUGGGCUUGUAGGUUAUUUGUCUUCUCUGUAUGUAGAUGCUGUUGGAUUCAGACCAUAGUCGAAAGAUGGGGGCCUUUUGUGCUCUCAGGUUCGGCUAUAUUCCAAGUAUUAGGAUUUCUCUCAGGUCUGGCUAGGUUCCAAAGAUGGCCACAGAUCCUUUUGUGCUCUCAGGUUUGGCUAGAUUCCAAGUAUUUGGUUUUUUUGGGUCAAUGGUCUGGCUAGGUUAGCUAGGUUCCAAAGUUGGCCACUUCUCUGUGGCCUUUUGUGCUGCCUUGCUUGGACUCGAUGGGAGAGAGAUAAGGGUUGGGCUAGGUUCCAAAGAUGGCCACUUUUCUGUGGCCUUUUGUGCUGCCUUGCUUGGACUUGAUGGGAGAGAGAGAAGGAUUUGGCUAGGUUCCAAAUAUUGGGAUCUUUUGGAAAUUAAGGUACUCCUCAGCAAUUUGAAACAUAUGACCGUCCAUCUCGUUUGCUUGAUGAGAUCUUGGUCGUCGGAUCGAGCCUCGGGAGAACGCAGGCCGUAGGAUCGAAGCUGAGGCACUUUGUGAAUGAAUAGUUACCGUCUCACGGUAAAAAUCUCGUGCCUCGCCUGUAAUUCACGUGCCCCAUCAGUCGGAAGCCAUUCUUGCUAGGGCAAUGAUGAUUGUCGUGGCUGAAAUAAGUGUGCCUUUGAGCAAUCGAGGCACCUGUGGGUAUCAAGUUGGAUCCUCCCUCUUGUCUCUAGAAUCCUUUUUCAUCAUGUGAUACUUAUUGUUCUACCCUUGGAUGGUCAUUCGUGUUGAGUGGUAACCAGGGCAUGCAGCUCAACUGUAUAAACAGAUUGAUCUGGUGAUAAGAGAUGAUGGGGGUAGGUCAUAUGAUCGAGGAAAGGUGAAUCUGAGCCCACUAUGCAUUGCACCCUGAACUCUUUUUAUUUGUAUUUAAAGGUUUUGCUUAUUUAUGCUCCAGUGUUUAUAGCCGUCUUAUGUAAAGAUUUUUUCUCUCUCAUACCUUUAUUGCAUAUAAGUUGUUCUUGAUCUUUUAUUGUUUGUUGUUGGUUUUCGGGCUGUGAAAUGUAUUCCUAUUCCUGAUCUAUAGAACUGCCUUUCUGAACUUGAUGUCUAAGUUCUACUGGACAAUGCUUAUUUGGCCAGAUGCUUAUAGGUUAAGUUAUUUGAUGCAUUUCUUUCAGUACCAAAUUGUUCGCUGCUUUGAGCAUCUGGCUGCAUACUGUAUUGUUUUAUAUUUGGUGCACUGGACCAAGAGAGCGCAGAGGGAGAUCUUCUGCCGCGCCGGCGGCAGCGACAGGGAAAAUCAAGUCCACGGUGCCACCAAUGAGAAAGGUAAAGACGAGUUGCCAUAUUUUGAUUGUAUACCGGCCAAAGUAGUUAUUUCAUCAUUAUUUUGGUACUCUGCCAUCGAAAUGAUUUAUCAAUGCUGGUUUUGCUGAAAUUAUUCUUGAAGAUCAGCUAUCCCCUAAGUUUUUAUUUGUUCUGCUUGAAAUUUCAGCAUAAAGAGAUUAUGCUAUGUCUUAUGUGUCUAACAUAGUGUUCAUGUUCUCUAGGUUAUUUUUUAAAAUAUGUAUGUGUGGUGUUCCUUUGGUUCGAAAUAAGUACUAGGUUAAGAUCCUUACUCUUGAAAUUUAACAUUAUUUCGAUAAUCUGUCGGUAUUGUUGCCAGGAGACCUAAAAGAAAAUCAAAAUUUUAAAUGCAUUAAACUUAUGUUAACUGUCUCCUCUGUAAUCACGAUGGGCACUGCUGGAGCACAUCUUAGCAUGUAUGAACGUUCCAUCCUUCAAGUAUAUUGUGCUAUCAUUCUGUUCUGAUAAAUGAAUUGUUUGCUGGAUUUGGCUCUUGGCAAGCCAUUUAUUCUGUGCAUAUCCUUCUGUGAUGUGGAUACCUCUUUGACACCGCCAUUUACUUUGCAAAAUAUGUAUGCAAUUCUUAAAAUAUGAAUCAUAAAACACUCCAUAAAUUACUGCUUGCUAUUAUUGUCCAAACAGUUAAUUUGCUUGGUACAUUUUUGCUUCUUUUAUUUUAGGACAAUUGUACUCAUGAUGCUGUCCUUAAGGAGAGGAUGCUCGUCCUGUAGAAAACCGCUUAUAUCAAGCCACUAUUACCAGUUCCACAAAACUUUGACUGGACUCUGCCCAUUUUUCGGAGAAGCGCAAUAGGCCAGGAAUCCACAGUGCCACGCCUCCAUCCGCUGCUCCUAGCUACAGCGACCUCGAAUCGACCGAGGAACGAGUCCUACAGAUAUUUUUUUUUCAUAUGUCGGACUAAGAUUAAAUGCUAAACAUACAUGACCACUAGUAGAAAACGGAGCUUUAAAACCGGUUCGUAAGGGAAAGCCCCCCCCCCCUUUUGUACCGGUUCGGCACGAACCGCCACUAAAGGCCCACCACGUGGCGUGAGCUCGCGCCGUGGUAUGGGGGACCUUUAGUACCGGUUGAUGUCACCAACCGGUACUAAAGGUUUUUUUUUUGAAUUUUUUUUUGAAAAUUUUGUAAAAAAUAUUUGAUUUUUUUUCGAUUUUCAAUUUUUUGAAUUAUUUGAUGAUUUAGUCUCUAAUCACCCCUCUUAACUGCUCAAGUGUGGAUCACUCAUUCCAAAUCGUCUAACUUCCCGGCCGGUCACCCAUCCUCUCACUCCCCCAGCCUGAGCAUGCUUAACUUCGGAGUUCUAUUCCCCAUACUUUCCAAGUCUGCAUUUGUUGUUUUCCUGACAAAUAUAAGCUGUCAACCCUAUUAACCCUCAGCAGUUUAGCUUGAGCAUUAGGUCACACGUUUUACCGUUUCAGUUUGGAACUAUUAUUCUAAAAAACAGUUAGUAACACUAAUAUUUCUUGAAUAAGUUUGACCACAGUUUGACCAUAGUUUGACCAGAUUUAACCAAAAUUAAAAAAACUGAAAUUUGAGCAUAUCUUUUUUUCCUUUUGGAAUUUGAGGAUUCUAAAAAAUUGCAAACAGGACGUAGGCUGUCAAAAUCGGAUGCGGAUUUUUGUGCUGAAUUUUUUGAUAUAUUAUACGUUUUUUUUCCGACGCCGUAUGCAAAAGUUAUAGCCGUUUUACAUUUUCCCUACACUUUUUACAAACCAUGUCCAAAUUUAAGUUUUGUAAUUUUCUAACUAGUAGAUGUAGUAAUAUAACUACGUCUUGAAGAAUUUUAUGUUUUGAAUUUUUUAUCAUUUUCUUUUGUAUUUUUCAANNNNNNNNNNNNNNNNNNNNNNNNNNNNNNNNNNNNNNNNNNNNNNNNNNNNNNNNNNNNNNNNNNNNNNNNNNNNNNNNNNNNNNNNNNNNNNNNNNNNNNNNNNNNNNNNNNNNNNNNNNNNNNNNNNNNNNNNNNNNNNNNNNNNNNNNNNNNNNNNNNNNNNNNNNNNNNNNNNNNNNNNNNNNNNNNNNNNNNNNNNNNNNNNNNNNGCCCUUUAGUACCGGUACUAAAGGGCUAACCUUUAGUACCGGUUCGUGCCACGAACCGGUACUAAAGGUGAUCGUGGGGCCCCGGCCUGACGCCAGCCUGCCACCACCCCUUUAGUACCGGUUCGUGGCACGAAUCGAUACUAAAGGUUCAAAAUGAACCGGGAUUAAUGCAUAUCCGUUCGAACCGGCACUAAUGGUACCAUUAGUACCGGGCCAAAAUCAAACCGGGACUAAUGUGUCUCACAUUAGGUCCUUUUUCUACUAGUGGACCACAGUUAAGUAAUUUCCACUUUGUAAGGUAUCCAUUUUUUUAUAACACGGGUUGAGCCAGGAUCUCUAAAUUGGAAAUAUAUAUUUCCACUAGGACAACCGGUCAAGAAUCUCUAUUAUAAGUGACUCUUCUGCAAUUUUUUUAUACCAUGGGUUGAGCCGAGCAUUGUAAGGAUUCAGACAGAAUGAUGCUUUCCUGAUGGUCAGUUGUCUACAGUUUUUAACUUGGCGCAGUUUGGAUGAUGUAUGGUUCUGGAAUUUGUUGCUGAUGAUGUAUGGUUCUGGAAUUUGGAGAUUAACAUUCGAGCUUUUGGUGUCUUGAAUCUUUAUGCUUUGUAUUGAAGUUGAUGUGAACAUGUUUUUUCUAUCUGGCACUGCCGCUCUAGCUUUUGGAAUAAUUUUUGUCAUCAGCCUGCAAAAUAAUUACCCUAUUGAUUUAAUAUACUCAAUUUCUUUGCUUUUGAUACAUCUCUUCUAUUUGUUAUCUAUACUAAACUAAUUGGUCCUGUAAGAAUGUUGUAAUUGCCUUUGGAUGGACAUGAUUUAUAUCACCAGUUUGCUGCUCCAGUAUCAAGUGAUUAAUAUGUUGCUCUCACCUAUAUCAUUGUUUCUUGCAGGCACCAUCUUCUUUCAGGUUUUCGCUGAGUGGCAUUACUGUUUUGUUAACUAUAGUGCCAACGAUGUCUGCGUUCACUCAUGCACGCUGAGCCCCCCCUCCUGGUACGGAUUUCUUCCUUCCUUUGCUCAUCUUGCUUUGUUUUAGGGUAAAAAAUAAAUAGAGGAACCAAUUCUUUUAGUUGCAUGAAGAAAUUUUACAUUGAGUGUUUGAUCUGUGACCUGCUACUUUGAUUUGGGCUAUUAGCCUUACAUACAUAGACUAAUAUGGCCCAAGACCUAGCUGCUCGCAAAUGAGGCUUUUAGCUUUCUAGGUUGUUGGUCAGCAUACCCUAAUUUUAUCAUCCAUUUUUUGGUCAGUUCAAUUAGUUGUAUGUCAGUAGAGAUCUGAUAUGAUCAUUUGUUUUAUGCUCGCUUCGGAUGAUUUAUUCCUGUUUGGAUUUGAGCGUGUCAUUGGUCUAAUUUCUAACUAGCAUAUUAAUUCAGUUAGGCUUACAAGUAUAUGAAUGCACAAGCUUUUUAAUAGAGCCAAGAGAUAAAAGGGAAAACUAUUGCAUAUGUCUAUCUGUCCAAACGACAUAAAUCGAGACUUCUAUCUUGCCCAAACUUCUUAUUAUUGUGUUCAUUUUCUCGCAUACAUUUUCUCGGAUUAUUGGAACAAAAUUUGACAUCAGCCUGCAAAAAAAAUUGUCGUAUUGAUUUAAUCUACUCAAUUUCUUGGCUUUUGAUAUAUCUCCGCCAUUUGUUAUCUAUACUAAACUCACUCGUCCUAUAAGACUACUAUAAUUUCCUUUGGAUGGACAUGAUUUAUAUCACCCGUUUGUUGUCAAGUGACUGAUAUGCUGCUAGCACCUACAUCAUUGUUUCUUGCAGGCAGUCUUCUUACUCUAUAGGAACAGUGUUACUAAUUUGUGUCCAAUCUCAGUAUGCCAUCUAUCUAAAUUUUGUUUAGCUUGCAUAGUGUUGCAUUAGCUAAUUCUAUUAUUUUUUUGUAGAUCUUCAAUAUUAUCAUUAGCAAGAUGAAGCCUGUCAAGUAUUGGCCACUACUAUCUGCGUUAGCUUCGCCUAAAAAAAACCCUUUUCACUUGGAAGGAGGAAGUAUGAGUUCUCAGUAAUGGUCAUCUAUAAGCUACCGUAGAUGUUCUUUGAUUAACAAAGACAAUGGCCUACUAUUAUCGAUGUUUCCAGAGCUUUCUUACCGAUUGUCUGUUAUCUCAUUAUGUUUAUGAGCAGCUACAACAUCUGUUGUAACACUUACACUUGCCGGUAUGAACUACUUGGCUAUAUUUCAUAGAACCUAUGUCUUUGCCCUUUGUACUGAACUUGAUGCAAUCAAGUUCAAAUAAGUUGUCCUGAGCAAGCACUCUGCCUUGCUUUUGUACAUUUGUUGCCUUUAUGCUUUGUAGUAAAGUUACAGGUCAAUUAUCUUGGGAACAACUAUACCUUGCUUUUGGUAUAUCCUUAAUUUGUAUGCUCACUCAGUUAUCCUGGCAUCAGCUAUAUACCUUUUGGUAUAUCUUUAAUGUUUGUGAACUGUACAAAACAAAUUUAAGUUGAUCAAUUACUCUCAUUUCCUUUGGAUUCCUUUGGAUGUACUAAAUGCUUUGCUAUAUUGGAGUUUUAUACGCGUUGGAUCACUGCACCGAGCCAGGCAACGGUGCGCCAAGGCGCACUUCCGAUCUGUAGUUGUGUAAUUCUAUUAUGCAGUUUUUUGUAUGGAAAUAUUUAUGCAGUUUUUUCUAUGGAAAUAUUUAGUUGUGUAAUUCUAUUGGACAAUUAUGGAUGAGGCCUGAAUAAUGUAUAGAUAUGAUGGAUGCUCUUAUUCCUUCUGACUCAUCAUCUGUAGAUAAUAGUCGAUGAAUGAUUGAUCGUGGCUUUCUUUUGGUAUGUCAUGCUACAUCUCUUGCUUCUAAUGGGCUUUGAUGCUUUGGAUCCUUUUGUUUUUGUGAACUGUCGGAAUAUAAACCAUACUUUUACCGGGUUGGAUAUGGCUGGUGCAGGUGAGGUGCGGCAAGCCGCACUUCCUGUCAAGUGGUUAUCUUUUGUGAUCUUGUGAACGUACUAAACUCGAUGCUACCUUAUGAUAAUCUUAUGGUGAUCUUGAACUCCAUAAUUUCUUGCUUCUAUCAUAUGUGAAUGUUUCUUCUUACUUUUAUUUAGUUAUAUUCUGUUUGAGUAAGUAUGUUAAACCUGGGUUACUACUAAUUUGAGCAUUUCCUGCAUAACCACAACGUUGGGACCGGCACGCUCACGCCAAGGCGCGUUGCCGAUCUAGUAUAGCACUAACAGCCAAUGCUUGCAGUGGCUGCGGGUGGAGUUUGAACCUCGUGGGAGCAAGUUCCAUUAUUUUUUGGGGGUAUUUUUACAUCGUGUUACAAAAAAGGAAAAGAAAAUUCAGUUUGUGCCAGUUGGUUCGGCCCAGAUGCGAGCGCACUGAACUUUCCCAGGAUUCGACGUGCACGUGCCACAUCGACAAUCCCUGUUUGGGAACACGCUCAAGGUUUAAAAUAGACCGGGAUUAAAGAGUUCGGUAUGCUGAUUUCCGGGAUUAAGUGUUCAGGGUUUGAAUUAUCUUUCAUCUACAAGUCAAGGUUUUUUUUGGACUUUUUCCUCCUCAAGAUCCCCUGUGAUGCUCACCAGUUCCACCAAAUGGUCAGCGCCAUGUGCAGCAACAGCAGAGCCACAUGGAGUGGGUAGUGAUCAAUAUUGGUAGUGAUUUAUUACUGCUGCACAUCGUCUCAACAAGCCACGUACCCGGGAGAAGUAUAGAAUGGAAGAGGGAUGCUCGUAGAGAAAUUACAAUCACCUCAAAUGCGCAUGUUUUCUAGAUUUGUUUAGUCAGAGAAGGAACAGUUCGUGUUGGUUGUGUAUAGUCCACAUAACUACUCAUGGCCGGCAGAUUUGGUCUGCUUUCGGCGAGGAGCUCCUAUGUACUCCCUCCGUUUGUUUUUAUAAGACGUUUCAGACAGCUUGAUUUGUACUCUCUGUCCUAAAAUAUAAGACUUUUUUAGGUUUACACUAAGUCUCAAAAAUAAACCCAAUUAGUACUAGAUUGUUUUGAACAGUGUCUGAAUGUCUAAAACGUUCUAUCUCUACUACCUAAAAGAACCGUAAGGAUCUGUUUCCCCUCUUACGUUGUUAGUUUCGUCGAGCCCCUCGCUUCUCCCAGCCUCCACCAGUCCACCGCUUCCUACCGAUCUAUUUUUUGCAUGUCCCGAUUUUUCUCCUUCCACCUUGUCCGCCUCUCCCUAUUGCCUCACGCAAAGAAAGCACAUACCCACCUAGCGUUAUCCCCAUCACGAUCUGGCGGCUGCCACUACGUCGAUAUUGCAUUCGGUGCCGCCCGUCCCUUCCCUCUCCCAUCUCAUGCUUGUGCCUCCAAUCUCUCGUCGGACGUGCGUGUGCCUCCCAUCUAGCAUCAGCGGCCACUCGCCAGCGACGGCCUGAGGUCACCGACAUGGGGACCCAAGGAUUCAUUGCCGCCGUCCGGAGCUCCUUUGUUGACGACCUCAAUGGGGGCUUUGGCAAGAGCUCCUGGUCUUCCGCCAACGCCGCCGGGUCCAGCCCCCAGGCUGACAUACUGCCGAUCAGGACUCCGUCAGAUCCUUUGUCGCCGACCCACGUCCCAGUCCUCUCCUUCCUCUCACAGUUCAUGUAGCCCCUACAUCCGCUCCUGAUUCUCCAGGUUAGUCACGAGGGACUCAUAAAUCUGCAACUUCAUGAUUUUGAAUUGGUUGUGUGUUGUGUUGCAGGAGGCGACACCACAUGAGGAGGCGAGAACAGCAUGAGCAAUCUCAUUCAUGUCAGUCUGUGCGUCGCUUCUCACGCCAAGCCAAAGGUCAUCUUGCAGCCUUGUUGGCAGAUUCAUGUGUACAAUAUUAGUGUUCAUAUCAGUCUAGCAUAUUCAUGUGUGUCUUUUCAGUAUUCAAAGUUAGGGAAAUUCAAGUGGUACAUAUAUUGUUUGGAAUAUCAUUGCUAUUCCAUGAUCGGUUCCAUUUAUCCACCAUUUAAUGUUUUUAUUUUUCUAUUGUACAGUAGUUCCUUCUAUGGAACUGUACUAAUUAUAUCCAGCUUCAUUAAUGUCCAGAUGCAAGUUCAUGAAUGACUGUUCAUUUUACUUGAGAAGAACUAAUUCACAUGGUCAAGAAUAACUGCUGGAUUAUAAUUUUAUAAGGCUUUGUACAGAAUACAAGCAUACUCAUUGAUUAAUGUUAGACAUGUAGAAUCCAGUGAAGUAGUAUAAAUUUUCAUCGGCACGCCAACCAACAGGAGCGGCAACAAUAGCAGGGUGUCACAGAUUGAGCGUGAGGUUGUUCCGAGAGGCGCGACACUGCCAAUGGAGAUGUAGCAAGUGAAGGAGGAGGAUGUGCGGACUAAGGUGGGGCUGCGUGGUAGAUGGCGGAGGUGGACAAGAUGAACAAUUGGUUCGACAGGGUGGUGGUUGUCGUCGACGGCUGGGAGGCGAAGCAGGUAGACAAGGCCUUUGCCUGGCUCAACAAGAUUGAGGUGGGUCUGGCUCAAGAAGAGCAAAUACCUCUGUUUAUUUUCAUAUUUUGCACUUCAUUUUCUAUUGAAAAAUUCACUAAGCAAUUAUACUUGCUUUGAGCAUAAUUUGCAAAUUCUUAUGUCUAUGAGCAAUUUAGCAUCAGCUUUCCUUGCAAUCAGAGAAAAACAUGAUUAUUUAAAUAAUUUCAAGACAGAAAAGGAGUAAAGCAUUGCAAAUCAACACAAUAACUAAACAAAAAAAAUAUCUUGCAAGAAUCACCACAUUUAUGAGACUAAGUAAAUAUUCGACCAUUGAUGCAAUUGUUCUAUGUAUGAUUCGUGAUGAUUAUUUGGCAAACAUUUUUUCUUCCCAAAGAAAAUAAAAAUCAAAAUGAAGUUCAUCAUCUCUAUGUUCUUGCUCUGAGAAAAGGGUUGAAAGAAACUAAUUCACUUUGGAAUUUGUCCCCCUUUGCACUUAAUUUGCAUCUUGUCAUGACUGCCUGCAAUUUUGCGCCAUCUUACGUCCUUCCAUUAACUUUGUGUCUAAAAGACAUGUCUCUACAUGUAUAUAGAAUUCCAUCCCAAAUUUCUGGAUCACCUUUUUCACUAAAGCAUGUGUUAACAACAAUGUCUGUAUCAAUACUAAGAGAUGUAGUUAUCAAGGUUCUAAGUAUUUAAUUUGUCUUUUGUAUGUGAACUGUUGACUAGUGGAAGGUCCACCAUAAUGGUUCUGUACUAAUAAUUAAGUAAAGACUUUUGAUGCAAAUUUGGGCAUGAUGAUAGGUUCACUUUGGAAUUUGUCUCAUUGAUAUGAGCUUGAAUUCUACACCACAUCAUGACUGAUAUUCCUGGAAUUUGUGAUCACAAUGUCAGUGUUGCCAUUGUCAUGCAGCUCAACCUGGGACCGAGCACGGAUGCCACUGCGUAUUGAUAAAAUUUACAGGAAAUGCAGAAAAUAGAGUUACAGCAAUUGAGCAAUGCAUAGUUCCCAAAAUGUGUACCACAUAGUUCUAUGUUGAAUAUAGACUACUUAUGUUCCAUAUUCACCCUAAAACUUCUCUAAAGGUAUUGAACUUUCUCAUGUUUUGUGAAGCUACCAUGUAUCCCCUUGCCUAAAAUUUGAUUGAUAGCCGGAUGUGCCAUUAACGACGGUGACGAGUUUGGAAUGGGGAGUGGAUAUAGCGGUGAAGAAGAUGAAGAAGAAGGGUGAUUUAUAACAUGACACAAAAGUUGACAAUAUCAUUUAAUGUGCAUGAGGAUCUUACAAAUAUACAUGUUAUACAAUAUUUGUUAUGCCCCGUUGCAACGCACGGGCAAUUAACUAGUAAAAAUAAACAGAGGUAGUAAUCAGGUAAGGCUUCCCGUCGUUGGUUCUUGGUUGGAACCUUGGUGAUUGGCAGACACGGCGUCAGAGACGAGGCAUUCGGUUUUCAGGUUCAGUCUUCGGGUACUCACAACACUGAUUUCCCCUCGCCCCUGCCGGCGCUGCGCUCCCACGCGACAGAAACCCUCAAUCGGCAGUGGCGGCGCGGCGGCGCGGCGGCUGCCACUCCCGCUCCCGCACGGCCGCCCCCGCCCUCCCCCUUCUUCGGUUUUCCCGGCGACCCCGAUUCGCCGGCCUGCUCCGUGACGCCGGGGAAGACGGAGUGGGCGCCACCCCGCUGCGCCGGCCUGCGCCGCGACGACGAAGAGGGGGAAACCCCACACCGCGCUGCGUCGGCCUGCCCCGUGAUGCUGGUCGCCGGAGAGGAGGACACCCCACACCACCAUGGCAACGAGCCUAGACUCGUGCAGAGUGAGUCCCCUGGUCAGUAGUUUCUGUUUUUUUGUAGCAAACUGAAAUUCCACCAGAUUGGAUGGUUCAGAGAGAGCUCUCUCAUCACUUAACUUCCCCUGAUUAGAUGAUUCUUGCUAAUGGAUACAAUUGGAAACCGUCAAUUUCCGCAUAUCAUUUGAUUAUGCUGCGCACUAAGCUCAAGUUCAGAUAGCCAUGAAUCAGCUUCUAGUUCUAAGCAUUGUCAAAUCAAGUAGGUAGGUUACUGGAAUUUAAGUUUUCCAUGUCUGUCCAAACCUUGGCUCGCUGUAACUCAACACAUACAUUUGGUCUUCCAAGUAUAGUAUCAUCCUUGCGAAUAAUUUGACCAUCUGCAGGAGCAACCCCAAUAAGAUCAAUGACACCAAGCAGCCAACUCUUCAAGCUACUACAACAGAUGAGGAGGACAGCAGUAAUUGUGCCCUCGUUGCUGGGAGGUUUGAUCCUGAGAAGAUUAGAGAUGCUUUUGCUGAAUGAUAAUUAUGGAUGGGCUCCCAUUUGCAUUUUCCGAGAAACCAGGAUUUAGAAACUUAAUGUCAGAGGCAUGUCCUCCCUUUACUGCGCCAUCUAGGAGAACCGCUAUCAGAGAUUGUGUCCGCACUUACUAUCUUGAGAAAGAGAAAUUGAAAAAGUUUUUCAUAGAAUCUUCUGAUAGGGUCAGUCUAACAACCAACGCCCGGACAUCUAUGCAGUAGCAGAGCUAUAUGUGUGUUACGGCUCAUUCCCUUGACACUGACUGGAAGCUACAUAAGCAGAUUUAUUGGGUUCUUCUUGGUGACUGGUCAUACAUUGGGAAGGACAUCGAGAGGUGUUUGAUGGAUUGGGGUUUAGCUAAAACGUUCUCAAUUACUGUUGAUAACUGCAGAUGAUGGCGCUGUAAGUCACAUGAGGAGGGCCAUGAUUGAUGCUAAAACUAGCAAAGCAAAAGGACAAUAUAUUCACAUGAGAUGUGCAGCCCAUGUCAUAAACUUGAUAGUUUAAGAUUGUCUAAGAGAGUUGUCCAUCUCAGUGCAACGAGUCCGUGCUGCUGUCCGUUUUAUCAGAAAUUCUCCAUCAAGAAUUACUCGAUUUAAAAGGUGUGCUGACUUGGAAAAGGUGGAGAGCAAAGCAUUCUUACCACUUGAUAUAUGCACAAAAUGGAACUCCACAUGCCUAAUGUUGAAAACUGCUAUUGCCCCCUCGUCAGCCCCGGAGCCCUUCGGUCUGAUCUGGGACAUCCGCCUCCCCCUAAAGAUUCGGAUCUUUCUUUGGCAAUGGAUCCGCGGCCGCCUCCCGACCGGCGUUGAGGUUCUUAAGCGCCAUGGUCCUGGCGAUGGAAUGUGCCCCCUGUGUGGCACGGUAGAGGACGCUAAUCACAUCUUCUUCUCUUGCUACACGGCACAGUUACUUUGGUCUUGUUUCCGCGAGACGGUAGGGGGACAGUGGUGCAACACCAACUUCCCUGACUUGCUUGCGGAAAUUCAAGCCUCCCCCCCUCGCUACAGACAUAUUAGAUGGCUGUGCGUCGGGGUUCUCGCCUGGACGCUGUGGACGGUUCGCAAUAAGCUUGUGAUUCAGAAGGUGCCCCUUCGGCGUGCUACUGACUCCAUCUUUAAAAUGUGUGGUUACUUGCAGCUCUGGCGGCCGCUUAGCCGCCCUCAGGACCGGGACGCCAUCAACAGACUCCUCACCGACCUACGUUCGUUGGCCUUCCGCCUGGCGCCUCCGCUCCCGCCGCCACCCCCGGAGCCCGACUAGAGGAUGUUUCCCUCCUGGCGCGUGUGCCUUUUUGUGUGUGUGUGUUGGGCUUGUUGAGCUGUGCCCUCAGCCGUAACCCUUGAUGCUUGCUUUUGUUUAGACUCUGUGUGCGUGUGGACUUUGUGUGUGUGUGUGGACCUGUUGGAUGUUGGCUUUGGCAUUGGUUUUAUAUAUAAAGCGGGGCGUGAGCCUUUUUCGGUAAACUGCAGCCACAUAUGAGAAGGUGUUCGACAGGUAUGGCGAUGAUGACCCUUAAUUUGCAAUUGAGUUAAAUAGUGAGAAAGGGCCAGGAGUUCCUGAAGCUGUAGAUUGGGAGUAUGCAAGGAAGAUCUCAGAGUUUCUUGAGUAUUUUUAUAACCUCACUAUUCGUGUUUCAGCCUAUAAUCGUUGCACAUCUCACAUUUUUUUCCCCAUGAAAUUGCUUAGGUUUACAUCUUGUUGAGAGAGUGGUGUGAGAGUACCGAUGCUUUGCGGAAGGAAAUGGCUGAAAGGAUGAUUGCUGAGUACGACAAGUAUUGGGGUGCUUGUGAGAGCUUCAACACUCUGAUAUUUGUGUCUGUUGCUCUUGAUCCAAGGUACAAGUUAUCAGAUUACACAAGGUUUGCUACUUAUGAGAGGUUUGGUGAGAUCAAAGGAGAAGAAGUUUGGAAAUGAUGAGCGAAACACUUAAGGACUUUUUUAUAGAGUUGGUAAGAUGUAUGCUUCAAGUGAGAAUAAGGAAAUGGAAUCCGAUGUGCAAGGCAUAAGCAGGUUGAGGUCCCUAAUUGCCAAGAGGAUGAGAAUGAACAACUGUGCAAUCAGUCCGACGAUGAAGAGGAUACAGAACAGUUGACCAAACUAGAGGAAGGUAUGAAAAUAGGCUCAUUCGGUGCUUCCUUUUUUUCCCUAAUUCCUUGCUGAAUUUAACUGUUUACUGGUUGCUUUAUUUUAAUCUCAGAAUUAAUUCAAGAAAUGAGUGGCCUCAACGUAUCUGAGACUAGCUCCAGUAAUAACAAUUCCAUCACCAUUGAUGAUUCACAUGAUAAAUAUGGGUGAGUACUGCUUCCCAUCAUAAGCACAAUAAUGACUGGCAACUUGGAGAGUAUGAUGGUAAUCUCAAUGCUACAUUAUUUGCUCACCUGCAGUUUCUAGAGAUUGGAGCCUUGGGAAUAUCUUGCCGUCUCUCUGGUGAGUUGGGGUGUGGUGGUGCAAAACUGCAAAUCUUGCUGGCUUGUUAGAUUCCAGUGACCGUGUCAUUAUUUUAUUUUGAUCUGUGCUUCCAUGCCGGAAAAUCUAUCAGUCAGUCAAUGAUAUGAACUCAAGUUAUCCGACGUCCAGCUGCACCACCGCCCAUGACAUCUUGCCCUCCUCACAUCGUGGAUCUCCAUUUGCACAAACACCUAGUCAGUAAUUUAGUCAGGCCAUAUGCCUACACUAGCUAUUGCAUACUAGUAAGCAUGCACGUGCAACGCACGUAUAGUAACAAUAGAAGGAAAUUUUCUCCGUCAUCCUAAUUAGGACACAAUUGUUUCAAUAAAAUGAAUAAGUGCAAUAAUGUAGCACAAAUCUUAGUUUGAACUUCCCACCAAAAAAAACUUAAUUUGAACUGAAUAUAGCUUUGCAUGUAUAGUUCUUUUCAUAUGAGCACCAUACCUCGUAUCAAAUAUGCACAUACAAUGGAUUUCUCAACCAUGCAGAUUUAAUAAAAACACAUUACAUACAACAGCACCGUAGUCAAUUUCAUCCCACAAAUGACAGUCAAGUAAACAAUAAAUUAUGAAAUUAAGUUAGACAUUGAGCAUAUUACAUCUAUAUUCAUAACUCCAUCCUUUACGGAAGCAACAAACCAUGUGUAAUUAACUUUCCUAUAUAAAAACCCUGUAUUUUAAGCCUGAUCAUAUCUUUAUCGAUGCUAUGUAACUUCAGUGUAAUCCAGUAAAUCAGAAACUGUCAAAGCAUCAAUAAAUGGGGCACACAAUUAACAACGCAAAGAUGCACCACCAUGUAUCACAAGCUAUACAUACAACUUUUGCUACCAUGACUUUGUGUAACCAAACAAUGAAUAGUAACCACAACAAUCUUUUGAUACAUUCAGUAUGGAGCUAACAUAAUCAUGAAGCUCCCCAUGCCCUAUUACCAAUGAAUCACCUCAUGUCCUUAUAAUGCUGCAUAGGAAAUCCUGCACCUAAAAAUUGUUGUGUAUUAAAAGAAAAAGGUGUAUGCUCUAAAAUGGAACAUAGAAAAAGAAUAAGUAAAUUAAGCCGCAGUGGUGUGUAUGUCUGAUAUAUGUGAAGGCCUCCUUGAAUCCUGACUCACACAUGCUAAGCACAAGUUGGAGGCGUAAUAAUCUCCUCAUCUAAACAAGGCACUAUAUUCCUUUUAUAUGAUAAGUAUUUAAGAACAUGAAUUGAUUUCAUUCUUGUAGGUAAAAUCUUAUCAAGGCAACACUAAUAUUUUUUUUUGUUGAGCCGAUUAGCAGAUAAAACCUGGUCUUAUAAGUAAUAAGCAAUAAUAAAAAUAAUCAAGCAUGCAGUAUUUCUGUACAAGAAAAGUUUAGCAAGCUUGGAGGACUCGCUCUACUACCUCAAUAACAGCGAGUUGAGCUAAACAUGACAGGUACGAGUAGGACGUAGAAUCGGAUAAAAAGAACAUAUGGUACUAAGGUUAGUAAAAUUCAUAAAGAUCCAAUAUAAUUGUAGUGCUACUAGUAAGUUUGCACGUGCAACGCACGUCUUAAUCGUUGGAAACUGAAAUCACAUAAGUAUAAAAUAAAAUAAAAGGAGUUUUAAAAUAUAUGAAUUAAAUGGAUGCACAAUGUCUUGAGUUCACUGAAGUUGUUUCUUAGAAGAGAGACUACAUCUGAUGAUGUUGUUGCAUGGAGACAAUAAUAUAUUGUUUAAUACCCAGUGCUUAAUAAGUUGUAAAAGAUAAAAAAAUCGAGUUGCGAUUGGAGAGUAGCCUUGCAUUGUGUUUAGUACAUGGAGAUGUAAUCUUUUGGUCUUAAUAUCAUGGUGUGAGCAAUUGAUACCUAAUCUUAGAAAAAGAUAUUAAUAUCAUGGUGUAAGCAAUUGAUAACUAAAAUAUGAGAAAAGUUCAAGAGAUAAAAGUUUGAUCCAUCGAUAUGAGAUUACUAACCAAAUGUUUAUAUAAAUCUGGAAAUGGCAUGAAAUUUCCAGGACUUGAUUACAUGUUGCGAAUACUCAGAACUCAGCUUGAUGACUACUAAAAUGAAAAAGAUAUAUCCUAGAUAAAAAUAUCAAUGGCAUUGAACCAGUGUUCUGAAGUAAAAUCUUAACACCAACAGAUUUUAGGGAGUUCCUUUUUUUUACAGUCAAAGGAGCUCACCUAUAUCGCUCAAGAUUACUCAGUUUGAAAAAAAAAGGCAAGAUCGUCCGGAGCGGCAUUACGCACAGCCUCGGGUCAGUAACUUGCAAGGGUAGCUUUGCAGAGAGUGGUGCAUAGAAAUUAGCCUCUCUGCAAAUAAAAGACAGUACUGAACAAAAAUCUGGGCCCAGCUCCUCAAUUUCACACAGGAGGCCCAUAAUCUCUUAUCUGUUUUGUUUUCUUGAGUUCCACAUCUCUACCCGUGCUUGACAAUCAGAUUUGAAGGCAACACCGGGCCAUUUUUUCCCCUUUGCAAGCUGUACCCCAUCUUCGAGAGCAAGUAUUUCAGCAAACACAGAGAGUAGAAUACUCAUACCUCUAAGCAGCGGCUAGCAUGAACUUACCUCCAGUAUAUCUUGCAAUUACUCCCGUGGUCACACGAGCAUUAGCACCUCAGAACGCCACAUCAACAUUAACUUCGAUAAUCUGGAUGUCUCCAACUCACAUCUCAGCUUGCUAGGAUAGGGAUAAUCUUCAUAUGGAGAGAGCAGAGAGCAGGUUUCCUGAACCACAUCAGGAACCCAUUUUGUCAGAUUUUAAGGGGCUUCAUAUAAUUUUUUGCCUGCUGCUAGGAAUUUAUUUGUAUGUACUGCUGCAGGUGAGAUGCUGAGAAUAAUAAUGGAUGUUCUACUAAAAAGGUACAGGUUUUGUGCGUUCCAGCAACAGUGUUAGUUCUUGAAAAAAAAUGUAAUAAGUCGAGGGUUACAUUCCUUUGUUUUGAUUAUCUCUGUCCUCUUUUCUCGUUUCCAAACGAAAGUGGAUCUCUCAUCUCUGAAAAAUGGAAAAGUAGGUCUCAUUCUCAUUUUUAGAUGCAAUUUUGUACAGUGGUCGUAACAAGCAAUAUGCAGUAACAAGCAAAAAAAACAGAGUUUGCUCAACUUGGCAAUUCAACGUGCAGGGAGGGGCGUGUUGUGUAGCAUUAAAACCAUUUAUCUUGUGAACGUCACCUAGGAAGUUUUCUUCCAAUAACGACACACUGGUCAAGAUAUACAACAACUCCGUAAUGAACAUCAUUGAUGUAUAUGCCUAGUUAAGUCCUGUUUUGGCAAUCAACCUAUCUAUCAAAAUUUGUUAACUGUAUCAACAUAAGCUCUGCAAAUGUGACUAAAUCGGUAAAGUAUUUAUUUCUAUAGUGGACAACAAAUGAAAUUGUUCAAGAGUUAAAUAGCAUGGCCACCCUUAUUAGAAUAACCUAGUUUCCUUCACGCAAUACAUGUAGUGGUAAACAUAUUGUGCACUGUUCUGUAUGCAAAUUAAAAUAAAAAGGAAAACUCUUUUUUUAUCUUGUUGAAAAUCUUCACCUUCCUUUAGAAAUACAUCCUCUGUUUUAGAAAAUCUGGGCGUAGAAGUUUUUUUUCUUGAACUUAUAGUUAACUCAAUAAAGAAUGGUGUUUGAAUUAGAUCUUGGAGUUCUUUUGGCAGAUAUUUCAAAACCUUACAGAUAGCUUAAUCUUUUUUGUUAGCUUCUAUUUCAGACACAGUGCAGGUUGUUGGACGUUGGGUGCACAUAUACCUUAGUGAAAGAUAAAUAGAGAGAGGGGGGAAUGCACAUAUACCUGGCGGAUAAGGCGGGGACUUAGGUUAUUAUGCGUGUUGUUGUAUGGGUGUUACGGAGGAUGGCGACGGCGUUAACAGGGUUGGCGGCAAAACUAUGCAAGAAAAUAAAAGAUAUAUUAGAUUCAAAGAGAAGGUGCACUAUGCACAUUAAAAGAGUUUUUCUGCUAGUCAUAGAGCAUUAUCGACAUUGUACUGCAAAUAAAUUAACCUAUCAAAAGUUCUAAAUGACCCAAAGUAUCAGAGAAUAAGGAAAUGGGGAGGGCUACAUACAUAUGUCAAGUUGAAAAUCUGAAACCAAAUCCAAAGCUAUAGCACAACCAACUAAAGAAAGCUCGCUGGAGUCAGGCUCGAGCUCAAUCCAUGCGGCAGGCUACAAUAUUAUGAACACAAAGAUUACUACCAUAUAUCAGCUCCACGAGUAUUUGUUGUGAAAAACGUAUAAGCAGACAACUUUGAAACCUAACAAGACCAGCAUUAUAAGAAUCAAAUUAAUGCAUACUCCUACUGUCAGAACAAAGCUAACAAUACGAUGCAAUAAAGAAACAAAUUGACGCAAUUAGUGAGAAACACAAUAGAGACUGCUCCUACUGUCACAAGAAUGGAUAGCAAAAUCUCUCUUUAGAGAAAAAAAUAGGGUCGCAAGCUGAGGAAUAUCCCUAGCCUUGGGAGGCAUAUGAAGUUCAGGGAACUUAUAUGGAGGUAGGGCGAUGUCCAUACAGGGGGUUGGUAAUGCUCAGGUACAAGGGGCUGCUGGUGGAGAGGGAGGUCGGGGAGAGGUCGCCAUCUCUGUUCCAGCCGGAGACGAUGUUGUAGGUGAACGUCGCCGGAGACCGGAGUACCGGAGAGCAAGGGUUAGAGCACCAACCAGGAGUCCGGUGAAGAACGAAGCUGGAUCCAACUCCCCUCCACGCACCAAGCCAUGAAAGGACCAAAAGAGCAGCCGACACCGUCGCCACCGUCGAAGACCGAAGUGGCGGACGCCCAAGGCCAGAGAAACAGGCCCGGCUCGACAUCAACAAAGAGUACAACGGAGAUCAACGGAACCCCAACUCGCAGGACCCAGAUGCCCAGAUCCGAGACCAAAAGGCACACAGCCCCUCAUCGACGCCGAGGGUGACGACGGAUGGGCGAAGAAGGGGGAGGAGGCGGCGACCCGCGGCGGGGAGGCUCCCGGCGACGGCGGGGCGGCUCUGGCGGGACGGGGGCGGAGGCGGCGACCCGCGGCGGGAAGGCUCCCGGCGACGGCGGGGCGGCNNNNNNNNNNNNNNNNNNNNNNNNNNNNNNNNNNNNNNNNNNNNNNNNNNNNNNNNNNNNNNNNNNNNNNNNNNNNNNNNNNNNNNNNNNNNNNNNNNNNNNNNNNNNNNNNNNNNNNNNNNNNNNNNNNNNNNNNNNNNNNNNNNNNNNNNNNNNNNNNNNNNNNNNNNNNNNNNNNNNNNNNNNNNNNNNNNNNNNNNNNNNNNNNNNNNNNNNNNNNNNNNNNNNNNNNNNNNNNNNNNNNNNNNNNNNNNNNNNNNNNNNNNNNNNNNNNNNNNNNNNNNNNNNNNNNNNNNNNNNNNNNNNNNNNNNNNNNNNNNNNNNNNNNNNNNNNNNNNNNNNNNNNNNNNNNNNNNNNNNNNNNNNNNNNNNNNNNNNNNNNNNNNNNNNNNNNNNNNNNNNNNNNNNNNNNNNNNNNNNNNNNNNNNNNNNNNNNNNNNNNNNNNNNNNNNNNNNNNNNNNNNNNNNNNNNUCUGGCGGGACGGGGCGGCUCUGGCGGAGGCAGCGGUGAGGAGGUCGUGCGGGGGGCGGCGGUCUGCAGAGGAGGAGGUCGUGCGGGGGCGGUUCUCUUCUUCUUUUUUUUGACUACGGGGCGAGUGCGGGGCGAUUAGCGAUCGAUCGUGGCUUGUUGCGUGGUUGGUAGCGUUAAACACAGAAUGAUUAAGGGCCAUUAGAUUUUGAUGAUGAAUGGGUGUGAUUGUUUGGAUCUGCCCCUUUCUUUCUUUUAUAGUAGUAGUAGAUACAAAAACUCGGAGGUGAUCAGACAGUCAUGGUUGCGAGUGUCCAUUGUCGUUGGCAUGUUUUUUUUCCUUUCUUGCCACUGCACGAUCUACGUCUUAUUCGUCAUGUCAUGUCACCAACUCACCAUUGUAGAAUUGUUGAGUUCAAUUUCGACUAAUCUGAAUACCUCAUCCACCGUUGGAUGCUUGUUCUUAAACAUCAUAUCAUUGCACUGUAACCAAAGAUGUGUUCUGUGUCAUUUAGAUGAACAUACAUUGUGAGCCUAACAACAUAGCAUCCACACAAAAUGCAGAAAGCAUGCCCUUGCAUAUCUCAAUAAAUACAUAAUCAAUUUUCACCACGGAAGUCUUUCUUUCUAUAAGUACAAAAGAAAUAAAGAGAAUACUACAAUAUAUCAUCGUACUGUGUUCAAAUUGUUUUGUCCCUCCGCCGCAAAAUAAACUAUGUAUGCCUUACUAUGUAUAUCAUCUAAGUAUGGCAGGAUGAGCCAUCAGUACAACUCUAACCAGCCAAUAGUCAAGUUUAGCUUAUACUCCCUCCGUUCCUAAAUAUGUCUUUUAGAGAUUUCAAAUGAACUACCACAUACGUAUGUAUAUAGACAUAUUUUAGGGUAUAGAUUCACUCAUUUUGCUCCGUAUGUAGUCACAUGUUGAAAUCUCUAGAAAGACCUAUAUUUAGGAACGGAGGGAGUAACAUUCAGUGAAAUUAAAUACUCCCCGUAUUUCUUUUAAAUGAGUACUUGUAUAUAUGAGAAAAGCAUCAUUACAGUUGUAUGCUUGUUGAGACUGGGUUUCUCUUUUCAUGCUGGGUGUGGAGUGGGUCGAACUGGGAUAGACAAAAAAUACGGAGGUGAGGACGCAUGGAUAGCGGACGAAAGGAGCGAAACAGGGUGAAGCGAAAUACAGAAUGUUGUGUGUGUUUUAGGUAUUAGAGAUUACAGAUUGGUCAUCAAGUGACCCAGGCUUUUAGCACUAAGCACAUACGUACAAAGAUUGCGACAGUGAGUAAACAUACCAGCUGCAUUUCUUCAGAAAUUCAUGCAUAUGAACAUAACAAAGUGAGUUUCGAGGGAAAAAAAACUCGAUGUACCAUAUACAUGUUUUCUCACAACUUGCUAGAUUUGUCCAGUCACCACCCUUGGACCACAUAAGUCAUAACCACAAUUUCCUCGCGCAAACUCUGCAACUGGCCAAUCAGAAACUAUCAAGUCGUAGAAACACAAGAGGACGCAAGGGCAAUGAGCCAAUGAAACUGCCAUUCAUGAAAAUCAAGUAGAGCGUGAUUUACCUUGAACAGGAUGCCCUUGAAAUAGCUCUUCUGGUAGGCCCAGCGAACCUUGUUGUCAUUGUAAAAAUAAUUGCAAUGCAAAAAAAUUGUAGAGAUUAUUUUUGCAAUGCAAUAGAAAUGACCAUAUAUUCAUAAUAGCAGCAAAACAGCAGAACUGCACAAGCAGUAGCAAACAACACUCCCUGCACUGUGUCUUCUCCAUCGAGGGAACACCCUCUCCCAGNNNNNNNNNNNNNNNNNNNNNNNNNNNNNNNNNNNNNNNNNNNNNNNNNNNNNNNNNNNNNNNNNNNNNNNNNNNNNNNNNNNNNNNNNNNNNNNNNNNNNNNNNNNNNNNNNNNNNNNNNNNNNNNNNNNNNNNNNNNNNNNNNNNNNNNNNNNNNNNNNNNNNNNNNNNNNNNNNNNNNNNNNNNNNNNNNNNNNNNNNNNNNNNNNNNNNNNNNNNNNNNNNNNNNNNNNNNNNNNNNNNNNNNNNNNNNNNNNNNNNNNNNNNNNNNNNNNNNNNNNNNNNNNNNNNNNNNNCUCUGCUCUCUCACGCAUUAAACACAGCAGCAAGCAAUCCUCCCUGCUCUCCCGCAAUCCAGACAAAAUAACAAAUAGCAGCCACAGGCAAAGGAACAUCAGCAGCAGUCAAACAAACAGCAGUAGCUACCUGAAUGAUGGUGCCUGAUGGAUGUCGAACAUGGAUCGCGUCUUGCAGGUGGAUGGACUGCGCGGCAAGGUGGCUACCGACCCGAUGCCAGCGGCGCACGAAGUGGCGGACGGGCGGACGACCACCCGGACCAGACACGGAUCGGGGGCAUGGCCCUCAGGAUGGCGGACUGUCAGGGCCGGCGAUGCGCAGAUCUGACCAUGGGCGAGGAGGCCGUCGACCAAGAGAAACAGAUGGACAACCAUCUAAUCCCGCAAGCCAUGGCGUCAAUGGUGACAUGGAGUUCGUGGUCGAUGCCUCCAGGCCAGAGACGGCGUGCUCGACCCGUGGCUGAGGACGGUGGCCGGCAGCAGGAGGUUGGAGGUGGAAGAGGCUGGGGGUGGCACCGGGAAGAUUGGGGGCAGGUGGGGAGUGGGAGGAUCGGCGUCGUCUCAUCCCUGCGGCGGCAGCUCGGGCGAUUGGUUUCUUUUUUUCUUCGCAUUGCGUGAUUGUAGGGGUUGUCGAACGUGGAGUUGGCAUUUUUCUCUCCGGUGGUGGAGUACGGUCAGCCAACUUAAAUUACUAAGUGCACACAAAGAAUGCAUUAGAUUAAAACUGACAGUUAGAUUAAGUUUAGCGGACCUAAUCCUGCGGUGGUAAUUAGUCCGUGUACGUUUUGUGGGUGCGUUUAGAGAAGAUAAUGUUGGAUCUUUUAUAAGUAGUGGAGAUGGAGAUGGAGAUCAUUAGGGAAAACUUAAAUAAGAGAUGGAGCAGUAUAAACCAAGAUAAACUUUAAUAAGCAUUUGAUUAACCUUGAGGAAGUUGACUCUUGACUCUUGAGUGUCCCUUCAACACUGUAGCUUUAGUACUAUAUACUAAAAAGGAUGCUUCAUGAUACAAAGUCUUUCAGUAGUACAAACCAAUUCAUGUAUUGGGAAGCACAGAUCACAUAAUCAAGUAAGCAUUCAUCAUGAACCAAGAAGCCUUGUGUUUCCGAUCAUUAGAAAAUGAUGUGAAAGGAUGGGAGUGAGUCGACAAGGAAAAGAUAAAAUGUAACGCAGAGUGAUCCCAAGGCAUGUGUGAUUUCCUCAGUUUCGAUGUUGCAUGGGAAGUAGGGAUUUGCCAAGGUAUGCACAAUUGAUAUGAAGUGAUAUGAAGUCCUCGUAAGCAUAUGCAAAUAAACCAUCCCACUAAGAUGAAAUAGAAUUAGCUAUGAGUGCUAAACUCUACAUGAUGAAUAAUGGUUCUAAGCUCUACAUGAUGAAUAAAUGGUUGGUAAGAAAAGUGAUAAAGUAUAAGCCUAAGAAUAAGUGAACACAAAGAGCUUGAUAGAGAGAAAAUAUGUCACCUAUCUUAUUCUACUUCUUUCUUUUAUCUUUUCUUUCUUUCUUUCUUUCUUUCUUUUUCUUUCUUCUUUCUUUUUCUUUUUUCUUUCUUUCUUUUCCAUUUCUCUCUCUUUUUCUGCCCUACAAAAGAUUGAUAGGUGCCGACGGAAGCUCUUAUAUAUAUGAAAAUAAAAGCGAGGCAUAAAAUGGUUGGUGAAUUUCAAAAAGCGCUAAACAUGAUGACUAUUAUGCCUCCUUUAAAG